UGCAUCAUACUAUUUUUGGUUUCCAUGUUUACCAUUGUGGAGAUCAGUAUCAGGUCAAGACUGAACUCUGAAGAAUCACAAGGUGCAACAGUUUUUGAUUCAAGACUGAACACACUUCAUGAUUGGGUUCUGAAGAACCAAGGAAGUGAAUAUACAAGCGAAUUGUUUUCAUACAUAAAGAAGUGAAUUGUAUUUCUCAUUACUGACCAAGAUAAAGUGUGCAUCGUUCCUUACCAAUGAGUUGCAAUCAGGAUGGUCGCUUCCGGACGUGAAUUUGUUUUCUUGAAUAUUAUGAGAGCCAAUCCAAAUAUCAACUUUGUACAAGUAUCCAAUACCUGCAUGAAUCUGAAAAACAAAUGUGUACACAUAUAUAAGUUUAUCUUACAGCAAGAUUCCUUUUGAAAGUUUUUUUUUGGACUAGUGUCCAAUACCUACAACAAUCUGAAAGAAGUUCACCGUUCCCAAAAAGGCCAAAUAAAGCCUAGGCGGUAAGAUAUCUUCAAAACUCAGACGUUCGACAUGGUUAAGAGUGUUGCUGACUAUAUGUUGGUGCCACAUGUGAGUGACCAUGAUUUUCAUUUUUUAUGUACUUUUAUUAUAUACAGCUACUCCCUCUGUAACAAAAUAUAGGACGUUUUUUUUUGUUUCACGUACAAUUGUUAAACACCCCUUACAUUUUGUUACAAAGGGAGUACAAUACUGCAAUACAAAUGCACAUAACAUCACACGGUCAAACUUGGUUAGAGGUGGUAGAGUGCACAUAUAUAUGGGUUGCCAUGUAAAAUGUGAAAGGAUGGAGUCCAAUGCAAGAUAAUAUACAUUUUUGUUAUUGGAACAAUAGUUAAUGUUGGACCUACCAUGAGUACUAGAAAUACUGGUCUAUGUUUUCAUGCUGCUUGGACAGUUCGCUUGUCCUUGUCAACAUGUUUGGGCGUUUAGACAAUUAAGUGCCCAUGUGAUCACACACCCUUGAAUUCGUCGUAGUUGAUGUUGUAGUCAUCGCUACAAACUUUUCUAUAUUUUAAGUCACUGUAAGAGUUCGCAGAGGCUUCGGUAAAAAAAAUAAAGUGUCCGCAGAGGCCAGUUAAUUUGUCCAGAGAGAAGGAUUCCCUCAUCAAUCCAUGGAGGUUGCCAUAUCUGCAGUUACAGGUGAACUUUUGAGCAGGUUCAUCUCCUUCCUGAUGAACAAGUAUCGCUCCUCCUUAAGCCAUGCACACCCAGAGGAGCAAAAGAAGGUGGUGGAGAGGUUGCAGCACCUCCUGAUGAGGGCUGGCACCAUCGUCGAGGAGGCGGACGCACGGUACAUUACCAACUCUGGAAUGAUGACACAACUCAAGAAGCUCUCAGAGGCCAUGUACCGAGGAUGCCGCGUGCUGGACACCUUGAGGUACUGAACCCUCCAAGACAGUGGAAGCUUCGACGAGGUUAGCAACGAUUCAUCCAUCAGCUGCUUGUAUUUAGCCAACCGUUCUCGAACAACUGGCAAGGCCGUGCACCUCGAGUCACAUGAUGCCUUGGAAAGCUUAGAAAUUGCUGUUGCUAACAUGGCAGAAUUUGUCGUGCUUCUGGGUGGAUGCGAACGCAUGUCUCGUAGGCCAUACGACGUUUAUCUUUACACCGAAAACUUCAUGUUCGGCCGGCAUGCUGAGAAGCAGAAGCUCUUGAUCUUCUUGCUGCAGCACAAUGACCCUCAUGGUGAUCAUGCACCUGCCAUUCUUCCAGUCAUAGGUGGUGCCUCGGUAGGAAAGAAAACUUUGGUUGCUCAUGUGUGUGGCGACGAAAGGGUUCACUCACGCUUCUCCUCCAUUUUGCACUUGAAUGGAGACAGCUUUAUGAGGAUACUUGACAACGGAAGGAGCAUGUUUGGGAUGGUGUUGGUGGUUAUUACGUUUGCUUCUGAUAUAGAAGACGAUGAUUGGAAAAAGUUUCACUCCUUUGUCAUAACAAUGGGCAGAGGAAGCAAGAUCAUCAUCAUUAGUAGACUUCAAAGGCUAGCUCGAUUCGGAUCGGUGAAACCGAUUUUCCUAACUGUUCUGUCUUAUGACGAGUUGAGGUACCUUCUCAAGACACUGGUAUUUGGAAGUGUAGACCCCAUGUAACAUCCACGGCUUGUAGAAAUAGCAGAUAAAUAUGCCAAGGUUUUGCACAGUACACAAGGUUCACUUGUCGCAACAAAUAUGUUUGCGGAUGUGUUGAGAAGGAACCUCAAUGUUCAGUUCUGGCGUGGUAUAUUGGAAAGGGGGAUACGAAUGGUUAAAAGAAACCUCUCCAUAUAUGGUGUGCACCCAACCAUCCUUAUAGAACAAGGCCAUCCGGUGGACAUAACGGACUUUGCAUUGCAUCCACUUAGCAUGACACGUUAUACAGUUAAUGUUUCAACCAAGAAGCAAUCGCCAAGUGUGACAUUUGGGCAAUUGAUAACAGAUCCUAGUGUUAGACCAAAAGAAGACUUCAUUUUAAUUUCAUGGGAAUCAAGGAUACCCCCUCAUAACUCGUUUGCUCAUUUUGUUACGAGUCAUGCUCAGGAUACACAUGAAGGGCCAGGGAGGAAGCGACGAGGAGUGCCUAUGUAAUUUUGUUUCAGAGCUCGCAUAAUGUAACCCAUGUUGUACUUUCUGAUGCAUGAAAAUAAGAUGUGUUCGUGUGGCCAUGGACAAACCAUUUUAAAGAGUGAUUAUAUACCAUUAAACUAAAUGUGUUGGAGAUCUCAAUUGUAAAUAAAACUGUACUAUCAGAUCCAACGACCCCCCCCCCCCUCCACCCUGCAGUUUCUAGAUAACAAAAAACAUCAUCUUGCACCAUGGAAUGAAUCCUAAUCCAUAUAGGAAGGUGAGAAAACUUAACUGAAAUAAGAAGUGAAUAUUCAAGUGUUGUCUAUUUUAAGGACUCUGAAACUUCUGAACAUUCAGAACACACUUUAAUUUGAAGCUGGCCAAAACAGGAUAAAAGCUUUGCCGCUUUCACUCAAGGUUCACCAACAGUUCAGGAUUGACUAAAUGUAUCCAAACGGCAUGAUUCUACUCGUCAUUUACCAUUUCCUUGUUGUCUCUAGUUUGCUGUUUAAGCCAGUUUUAGCUGCUAAUCUUAGCUGAACUAACUGCCAAGUGCCUAAUGUGACCGCUGCGGAAGUAUAUCGCCCCAACUAAUCUUUGGCAGAGAAUUUCAUUUUGGGCCACUCGGUCCUCCUUGAGGCCGUCCUGUUCGAUUUUGGGCCACAGUGAUAGCUUUUUUGGGGGUAAAUUUUAGACUAUCUCAUGCUUCGGUAAUUUUUUCUGACUGUACUCAGUACAUGGAGCAAAUACACAGGAGGUACCAAACAAUUUCCUGUAGGAGGACUACUUUUAGUUUUUUUAAUAACAAAACCAAGUUGGAUCCCAGUAUUUGCUUUUCCAUUUUUACCAUUGUGGAGAUCAACGUCAGGACUCUAAGAAUCCACACAGUGCGACAAUUUCCGAUUAAAAGCUGAAUUAGUACAAAAUAAGCCGCACAGAGAGUGGGGGCAAAUGUAGAAACAAACUAGUUACAUGUGCUCAGAAAAAUUAUUAAGGUAUAGAGUUGUGAUUCUAAUCACUGACCAAGAUAAAAGGGCACAUAUCAUUUCUUUGUCAAUGAGCUGCACGCUGCUUCUCUCCACUGAAGCUCAUCUGAAAAAACAUAAACAAUUUUCAAGGUGAAACACUGCAAUAAUAGACUGCACAUACAUGGGAUGCCAUUCCCUCCAGUGGUAGAGGGUGAACCAAAUAUAAGAGGGGGGCGAUUGUGCAGCUAGUUAAGAAACAGCCUCUCAGCCUUUGCUAGCCCAUAAAAUUAGGCUAUGGGUCAUAUAUCCUGUGGCCAGAACCCGGGAUGGUCCCCAAGAGGCUCCGCCAGUGAUUCCCUCGUAUGUAUAAAAAAUGCAAGGAGUUCAACAAAAGACAAAUGCAAAGAUGAUUAAAUAUACAUUUUGCAAAGGGACAACAAUCAAUUUGGACCUAACGUAAAUAUUACAAAUACUAGCUGGUUAAUUCUUUUUAAUGCUGCUUGGAAAGUUCGCUGGUCCUUGUCACGCCUUUGAGCUUUAAACAAAGUAUCCGUGCCUUUCACCCACCCACCCACCCACCCACCAAGUCGUCCAGGGACACUUUGUUUAAAUGCGAUUGAUACUUCAAGUCUUGCAGAGACCAGCUUAGUUAAAUUUGUCCAGAGAUCAACCAGUAGCUUACCUCAUCAAUCCUGGCCAUGGAGGUUGCCAUUUCUACAGUUGCAAGUGAGCUUGUAAGCCAGUUCAUCUCCCUCCCGAUGAACAAGUAUCACUCCUCCAGCCAUGGACAUUCAGAGGAGAAGGUGGUGGAGAAGUUGCAGCAUCUCCUGAUCAGAGUAGGCACCACCGUUGAUGAAGCGGACGCUCGAUACAUAACCAACUCAGGGAUGAUGAUGCAGCUCAAGAUGCUCUUAGAGGCCAUGUACAGAGGGCACCGUCUGCUUGAUACCUGGAGGUACCGAGCUCUCCAAGACGGUGCAGGCUUUGACGAGGUUAGCAGCAACAACUCAUCUAGCAGCAGUUUGUAUUUAGCCAUUCCACUCAAGCGUUCUCGAACAACAACGGCGAAAGACGACAAGGCCAUUCGCCUCGAGUCACAUGAUGCUUUGGAAAGCUUAGAAAUUGUUGUUGCUAACAUGCCAGAAUUUGUUGUGCUUCUGGGCGGAUGUGAGUGCGUGUCUCGCAGGCCAUAUGACGUUUACCUUUACACCGACAAUUUCAUGUUUGGCCAACACGCUGAAAAGCAAAAGCUCUUGAGCUUCUUGUUGGAGCACAACGAUCCUUUAGGUGAUCACGCAUGGGGCGUCCUUCCGCUCAUAGGUGGUGUUGCAGUUGGGAAGAAAACUUUGGUUGCUCGUGUGUGGCGAUGAAAGGGUUCGCUCACGCUUCUCCUCUAUUUUGCACUUGAAUGGAGACAGCCUUUUGGGGAUACUUGAUGAUGGAAGGACCAUGUUUGGGACGAUGUUGGUAGUUAUUGAGUUUGCUUCUUAUGUAGAUGAUGAUGACUGGAAAAAGUUUUUCUCGUUUCUCUUAAGGAUGAGUACAGGAAGCAAGAUCAUCAUCGUAAGCAAACUUAAGAGAUUAGCCCGGUUGGGAACGCUGAAACCGAUCUUCCUAAGUGUGCUAUCUUACGACGAGUUGAGAUACCUUUUCAAGGCACUAUCCUUCGGGAGUGUAGAGCCCGCAGAACAUCCUCGGCUAGUACAAAUGGCAGAUGAAUUUUCCAAUGAGUUGCGCAGUGCACAUAGGUUCACUUCUUGCAACAAAUGCCUACGCAGAUGUCUUGAGAAGGAAUCUCGAUGUUCAGUUUCGGGAGCGCAAAAUGGACAAGAGGAUGAUAGUGGUCAAGAGGAACCUCUUCAUGUAUGCCGUGCACCCGAACACGCUUAUACAACAAGGCCAGGACAUAACAGAGUUUCCUUUGCAUCCACUUAGCAUGACACCUUACACAGUUGGUGCUUCAGUGAAGAAGGAACUCCCACGUGUGACAUUUGCGGAACUUGUAACGGAUCCUAGUGUUGUCCCAAAAGGAGACUUCACUCUAGUUGCAUGGGAAUCAAUGAUACCCCCUCAGAAAUCAUUUGUUUAUAUUGUUACAAGUCGUGCUCAGGAUAUACAUCAAGGCAGCGCCUUGCCAGGGAGGAAGCGACAAGGAGUGCCAAUCUAGUUUUGUUUCAAGACUUGUAAAAUGUAACUCUUGUUGUAUUUUCUUGAUGCAUCGUUGCUGUGAACCAUUGAACUAAAUAUAUCACAGAUCUCAAUUAAUGUACAGUAAAUGCGCAAAAGUGCUCUUCUUAUAUAAUGCUUCAAGUCUCGGACUCUCGGGUAGUUUUUUUUUCGAAAAGGAGGUUAUCCCCCGACUCUCUGGUAGGUGGCUAACCGAUGCAACAGAAAUUAAACAUACAAGAAAGAGGUAUAUGCAUCAUCAACAUCAUCAUCAUUGCAAUGUUAUGGAUAGCAUUCUGCUAUAAUUGAUAGUGAAAUAGGGACAUGUUUAGAUACAAAUUACAGAGGAAUUGAUUUCAAAGAACCCUGGGAGCACUGCGGCAUCGCGUUGCAUCUGGGAGGCUCCCGUGCCAGCCCUUGAGGUGCUCGUAGUCGGACUAGCUACUCACCUCCCAUUCUCCCUCGCACUUGACAUCGGCGACCGCCAUGGCUCCGCCCGAGGCGGGGCUCGCUGCUGGCCUAGGGAAGGCAGGAGGAUGCUCGUGGUUGCACCCAUGGUAGGUUGGGGAAGAAGGAAGUUGGGGGUCGCACAUCAUCUGCGAGGCACACGUUGCCGCUGGCGAGGCUCCUACGCUAGCCCAUGAGGUCCUCCCAAUCGACCUGCCUAGGCGCCUCCCCUCGUCUUACUUGAAGUAGGUGGCCACCAUGGGUCCGCACGAGGCCCGACGGGGAUGCUACAUGCUGCACGGUGGCGCCGCUCGCCGGUAGCCGACGCCAUGGCGUGUUUGGGCUUUGGGGAAGGAGGAGAUUGGAGAUCGAUUAAGUGAACAACAUCGCCAGUAGGCACUGACCGUCGGGCCCCACGGUAAAACGGAAACGGUAUGACUCUUGCUAAGAGCAUCUGCAGAUCCCUUAAAAGCUCGCUGGCAUGUUUUUCCUGCUAAUUUACAAUACAAGCAAAAAAAAAACCAGGCCCGAAAAAGUCCUGUAAAAACGGCCCGACAUGUAGAAUUUUUACGGGAGGCCGGAAAACCGCUUUAGAAUCCGCAAUAUAUACCGGAGCGAGGCCGUUUUAGGGUCCACAUUUCUUCAUUUCCCAUAUCCCUCUCUGCCGCAAUUCGACAUCUCCGGCGACAAAUCCCCUUUCCCCCGGCAGCUUUUUGUGGCGCGCGUAGCCAUCCGAACCUUGUCCUGAUGUCGAGCGCAUGUCACCGGAGGGGUGGCCGAGGGUGAUUGACGGCCGAUCGGAGACGCUUGAGCAUGGGCGAGAAGAUUCGCUCCAGCCUGUCGAAGUUGCUCCAAGUCCGGCUGCCGGCGCUGCGGGAGAGAGCGUCGCACUUCUGCGCCUACUCCUUGCGCCACUCCUCCACCAGCGGGCGGAGGGAGGAUCUCCCAGUCUCUUCGUCGUUGCGGCGCUUGCGAGGCGGCGCGCGUGGUUCGAUGCGAAGGUUUUGCACAGCAUUCAAGGUACACUUGUUGAAACAAAUAUGUUCGCGAACAUGUUAAGAAGGAAUCUCCAUGUCCAGUUCUGGCGUUGCAUAUUGAACAAGGGGAUACAUAUGGUUAAAAGAAACCUCUCCAUAUAUGGUGUGCACCCGACUAUGCUUUAGAACAAGGCCACCUAGUGGACAUUCCGGACUUUGCUUCACAUUCACUUACCAUGACAAGUUAUACUGUUAAUGUUCCAAUCAAGGAGGAAUCACCAAGUGUGAGACUGGGGGAAAUUCUAGCAGAUCCUAGUGUUAGACCCAAAUAACUUCAUUCUAAUUUCAUGGGAAUCAAGGAUGAAAGCUGAAUAAAAUUGUUGCUUAUAGAUGAUUUGGUGCGGCAUACAAGAGUAUAUAAGAGGGUACAAACCGACUUGGGGUAGGGGUACAAAACUGACUUGGACUAGAAGUCGUAUACCAUAAUGACUACUCUAACACCCCCCCGCAGUAUCAACGGCAGGCUCGACGACGUUGAGACUGAAACAGAUAUCUUGAAAAGGCUUAGUAGGCAGUGCCUUGGUGAAAAUGUCAGCAAAUUGAGCCGUAGAGGGAAUAUGAAGCACCCGAACCUGACCAAGAGCAACCUUUUCACGAACAAAAUGAAUAUCAAUCUCAAUAUGCUUUGUGCGUCCGUGUUGAACUGGAUUGCUGGUCAUGUAAACUGUUGAUAUGUUGUCACAGUAGACAAUAGUGACCUGUUCAAUAGGCCUGUGUAGCUCGGAGAGUAACUGCCAAAUCCAGAUUGUAUCUGCAACGGCAUGUGCCACAGCGCGAUACUCAGCCUCGGCCGACGAACGUGAGACUGUAACCUGUCUUUUCGAAGACCAAGAAAUCAAAUUGUUACCAAGAAAAACACAAAAACCGGAAGUGGACCUUCGAGUGUCAGGACAACCAGCCCAGUCUGCAUCAGAGUAUGCGGUAAGCGAGUUUGGAGAAGAAUUAUUGAGGUGGAGACCAUGAUUGAGAGUUCCUUUUAAAUUCUGAAGAAUGCGUUUAACAUGAUUAUAGUGAGGAACCCGGGGAUCAUGCAUAUAGAGACAUGCUUGUUGAACAGCAAAAGAGAUUUCAGGACGAGUAAUGGUGAGAUAUUGGAGAGCACCUGUUAGGCUACGAUAGAGAGUAGGAUCGGAAAAGGGUUCACCGGUAGCCGAAAGUUUAAAACUAGUAUCGACAGGAGUGCGAGAUGAUUGACAGUCAAGCAUACCAGCACGAUUAAGAAGAUCAAGAAUAUACUGGCGUUGGGAAAGAAAAAGGCUGGAGGAAUCUCGAACAACAGCAAUGCCUAAGAAAUGAUGAAGGAGUCCUAGGUCAGUCAUAGAAAAUUCAGAUCUAAGAAGAGAGACAAUAUGAUCUAAGAACUUUUGAGAGGCGGCGGUAAGAAUGAUAUCAUCUACAUAGAGAAGUAAAUAGGCAGUGUCAGAAGUUUGAUGAUACACAAAAAGAGAGGUGUCGGAGAGAGAUGGAGUGAAGCCUAUUGUUUGAAUGAAGGAGGAGAAGCGUUGAAACCAAGCUCGUGGGGCCUGUUUAAGACCGUAGAGAGAUUUCUGAAGACAUACAUGAGUUGGAAAGGAUGGAUUUUCAAAACCCAGAGGUUGCUGGCAGUAGACAGUUUCUUGAAGGGAACCAUGGAGGAAAGCAUUUUUAACAUCAAGUUGGUGAAUGGGCCAUGAAGAGGAGACAGCAACACUAAGAACGGUGCGAAUGGUGCUAGGUUUAACAACAGGAGAGAAGGUUUCUUCGUAAUCAAUUCCUUGUUGCUGAGAAAAGCCACGACAAACCCACCUGGCUUUAUAUCGUGAGAGGCUCCCAUCGGAGUGGAACUUUUGGCGAAAAAUCCAUUUGCCAGAAACAAUAUUUGUAUUGGGAGGACGAGGAACAAGUUGCCAGGUGUUGUUUUGAAGUAAAGCAUUAUAUUCUUCUUGCAUGGCAGCGGCCCAAUUGGGAUCAAGUAGAGCAGUUUUGUAAUUCUUUGGAAGAGAAGUGAGAGAUACGGAGGUAUGAAGGUUUAGGCGGUCUUGGGGUUGAUGAAAUCCUGAUUUGGCCCUAGUACGCAUGCGAUGAUCAUUAAUCGGGGUUGCUGUAGGAAUAGCACGAGGGGGUAAGGUGGGUACUGGUGAGUCCGGCGCAGCGGAAGAGUCGGACGAAGGAGUAGGGCUGGGUGGUGGAGUGGGAGCAGGGCUGGGUGGUGGAGUGGGAGUAGGGGCCGGGGGUGUUGGGGAGGGAGCAGGGAUCGGGGGUGUUGGGGACGUCUCGGGUGGGGUGAGUGUAUGGUUGGGAUUGGCUAUGGUGGGUGUUAAUGGUGGUGGUGAUAAGUUGUGUUCGGCAGGUAGGGGAGUAUAUAGUUGGAAAGGACGGGGAGAGGGGGUGUUUGCGAAGCUAGGGGUGUUGGAUGGUGUAGUAGUGCGUUGUGAGAAAGGAAAAAUGUGCUCAGCAAACGUGACAUGACGAGAGACAUGAACGUGUCCGGUGUGAAGGUCGAGACAACGAUAGCCUUUGUGCUCGUCAGAGAAGCCGAGAAAAGCACAUGGGAUAGAGCGUGGUGACAAUUUAUUUGCAGAAGUGGCGUAGGCAUUGGGAAAACAGAGACAGCCGAAAACACGAACCGCGGAGUAGUCGGGGUGGGAAAGAAAGAGGGAAUAAUAGGGAGUAGUGUUGGGUUUAGUUUUAGAAGGUCGAAUAUUUAGAAGGAAGGUGGCCAUGUGUAGGGCUUCAGCCCAAAACUUGGGAGGCAUAGAUGAUUGAAUGAGGAGAGUGCGAACUAUAUCAUUGAGGGUGCGAAGAGAGCGUUCUGCUUUACCAUUUUGAGGGGAGGUGUAGGGACAUGAGAACCUAAGCAGGAUGCCAUGUUGUAAGAAGAAAGUACGAUUUUUAAUGUUAUCAAACUCGCGACCAUUGUCACAUUGGAUAAAGCGAAUUGGGAGGAAGAAGUGAACAGACACAUAGCGUUGAAAAUUAAGGAAAAGAGAAUGGACCUCGGAUUUGUUGCGUAGAGGAAAAGUCCAGACAAAGUGGGUGAAAUCAUCUAGAAUAACAAGGUAGUAUUUAAAACCCGAAACACUUGCAAUGGGAGAGGUCCAUAAAUCACAAUGUAUUAAUUCAAAGGGAUAAGUGCUACAAGAACUAGAGGAACUAAAGGGAAGACGCACAUGUUUGCCUAAUUGACAAGACUCGCAAAACACAGAAUUAUGAGAGUCCCUAUUACAUGGUAUGGUAAAUUCACUAAGCAUAGAAGCUAAGACGGCGGGGUUGGGAUGGCCCAAGCGACGAUGCCAGAGAUCGACGGAGGCCAGCAUGGAUGUUGGAGGGGUGGCGGCAGGAACUCCAUUAAGAGAAUAAAGAUCACCGGAGCUAUUGAAGCGAGCGAUCUCGGCCUUGGUCAGGUAAUCCUUCACGGAUAAACCAAAAGGGUCAAAUUCAGCCGAAACUAGAUUGUCGCAAGUAAAUUGGCGAACAGAGAUAAGAUUUUUAAUGAGGGCGGGUGCAACUAGAACAUCGCGAAGUAAAAGAGGUUUGGUGGAAGAGGGAAGUUGAGCCUGACCAACACAAUAUAUAGGAAUAGAUGAUCCAUCUCCAAGGAUAAUGGAAGGGAAAGGAGAUUUAGUGCAAGAAGAUAACCAAUUACUAGAUGCAGACAUAUGACUAGAGGCCCCUGAAUCAAAGAUCCAAUCCGUACCCGAGUUUCCUUGUGCAGCAAAGUUAUUCAUGGCCUGGAGAAAGGCAGCUUGAUCCCAGCUCGGCGUCGCAGGUGAGGGUGGCGUCGGAAGCAGUGCCGGCGGAUACGAUGGUGAAGGCAGUAGGGACGGCUGGGGAGUGUAGUAGGCAUUGGCCGGCUGUGGUGGGGGUGGCGUCGGGAGCAGGGCCGGCUGAGGUGUGUAGUAGGCGCCGCCGUCGGUGCUGUAAUGACCAUAAGGAGCAUACGUCGGGGCGGCGUGAUAGGCAUUGGCCGGCUGUCGGGGGUUGAGAACCCCGGGAGCACCAGUAGGCGGCCGAAGGCCGGGUUGCCAGGCACCUGAGUAUGCCGGCGGAGCACCGAGGGUGGACGGAGCGGACCAGGGCAUGGGCCAUGCUUGAACAAGCCCCGUCCAAGGAUCAUGAGGAGGCCGCCAUGCAACCGCAGAUGGAGCACUGGUGGGUGGUGCAGGACUCGGUGCUGGUGAUGUCGUAGGCGGAACCGAACGAGUCGACGGCGGCCUGUAGAUAGGGUUUUUGCCGCGGUAGUUCGGACUAGGACGCCAGCCUGGGGGCGGUUGAACAAAUGACGAUGCGGACGGCCCGGCGGCAGGAGCCGGCCUGGAAGGCGGCGCUGGUGUAGACGACAGAGGAGGACGAGCCGCAGCAUGAAAGACCUUGGGGCGAGAGUCCUUGCGAGCUUGUGUUUCCGCCGCGAGUUGUAGCAAGGAACGAACUUCAGCGAAGGUAGGAGGGGUCCGUACCAUCGGUAUGAACGAGGCUUGCUUGUCAAAGUCUUCGCUGAGGCCGACGACGACGAUAUUGAUUAGCUGUGAGUCGCUAACUGUAUCGCCGAGUUCGCGGAGCUCAUCACCAAUGGUCUUAACGCGCUGGCAGAACAGGUUCAUCGGGGCGUCUCCUUGCACCAUAUUGCGAAGCUCGGUGUGGAGAGCGUUUUUCCGAGCGUCGGUGUUGCUUUGGAAGAGCUGACGGAGGGAGUGCCAGAUGUUGGCAGCGGUGGCGCCGUCGUGAUCGAGCAUGUUGAAGGUCUCGGUGGUGAUGCAGGUGUAGAACCACUAGACGAUCGCGAGAUCGUCUUUCAACCAUUGCGGAUCGUCGGGGCGGGGAAGACAGUUGGCGGCGAAAUGCGAGCGCAGGUUGCAGCGGCUGAGGUGGAGAUCGAAGAGAUGUCUCCAAUGGUAGUAGUUGUGGGCGGCGAGAUCAAGAACUAUGUGGAUGUAGGGCUGACGUCGGAGAUUGUGUCAGCAAGAGAUAUUGGUGCGGCGAGGAUGGGUGCAGGGUAGUUUUGUGGAGCUAUGAUGAGGGCCGAGAGAGAAGCGGCCGCGGCGUUGGCAGCCUUGGCGAUGAGUGCGGCCCGGCGCUCGAAGUAGCCGGGCGGCGGCGGCGGCGGUGGCGUUGACGGAGCCAUACCCUAAACCCUGUGACCGGUAUCUGAUACCAUGAAAGCUGAAUAAAAUUGUUGCUUAUAGAUGAUUUGGUGCGGCAUACAAGAGUAUAUAAGAGGGUACAAACCGACUUGGGAUAGGGGUACAAAACUGACUUGGACUAGAAGUCGUAUACCAUAAUGACUACUCUAACAAAGGAUACCCCCUCAUAAUUCAGCUGCUCACUUUGUUACAAGCCAUGCCCCGGAUACACAUGAAGUUAGUGCCAUGCUAGGGAGUAAGCGACGGGGAGUGCCGAUCUAAUAUUGUUGCAGAACUCGUGUAAUGUAAAAUCUUGUCGUAUUUUCUGAUACAUGAGCAUUAGAUAUGUUCGCGUGGCCAUAUAUAGCAUCAUCUUAAGUAUUAAUAAGGUGGCCAACUAAUGAAACAUAAAUUAAACUAAGAAGAAAGAGGUCUAUGAAUCAUCAUCAGGUAAAUCCUUAAAUAACUAGUAAUUCAGAAUUACAAAAGCUUUACCAUUGCAGAGAGCAAUCAGGUUUGUCCAUCAACAGAAGCGUGGCCAUGAAGAACACAUAUGGCGCAACAGUUUUGAGCCUUGAAGAACUGGUAGAUAUAUCUUCCAAAAGAUUGAUUACUCAGGAAGUAACUUCAAGUUUGCUGUUGUGUAACAUAAAUGAUAUGCAUAUUUAUUGUAUGAGAAUAUAGUACACAAUGGUAGCCUUUGUUUUCUCAACCUGGAUUCAAACAUCCGUGAGGAAUAUCAUUAAAAAAUAAUGACGCCGUCAUCUCCAAAUGCCAAAAACAGGUUAGUGUGGAAGAAUAUUAAUUUAGACGUACCUACUGUGACUAUUAAAAAUACAAGUCAAUGUUUUCAUGACGCUUGGGCAGUUGGCUAGUCAUUCUCACAUGUUUUUACGAGGAGCCCAACUAGUGUAUUCCUUGGGGGUACUAGACCAAUAUAUAGUACAAAUACAGGCAGUUUAUAAAAGAUACAUGUUAGCAGCCGUCUGCCACUCACUCUUGAACUCGUCGCAGUCAAUAGUCUGGGGACUUUUCUAUUGUGUGCGGAACUCUGCAAGACUUGACAGAUGCUAGUUAAUUUGUCCAGACUACAUAGAGAUCGACCAGUAGCUCUCCUCAUCGGCCGCUCUUCUUGCUUGCCAUGGAAGCUACCAUAUCUGUAGUCACAGGUGAACUAGUGAGCCGUUUCAUCUCCUUCCUGAAGAACAAGUACUACUCAUCUUUGAGAGAUGCACAAUCAGAGGAGAAGGUGGUGAGGAGAUUGCAGCAGCUCCUGAUGAGAGUCAGCAUCAUCGUCGAGGAGGCAGAUGCACGGUACAUAACAAAUUAUGGGAUGUUGUUGCAGCUAAAGAUGCUCUCGGAGGCCAUGUACAAAGGGUACCGUGUGCUGGACACCUUGAGGUAUCAAAACCUCCAAGACAGUGCGGACACUAACGAGGUUAGCAUCGAUGACCCAUCAAGCAGCAGCUUGUAUACAUCCAUUCCUUUCAAGCGUUCUCGAAAAAAAAAUUGAGAAGCAUGACAUGGCCAUGCACCUCGAGUCAGAUGGUGCCUUGGAAAGCUUAGAAUUUGCUGUUGCUAACAUGGCAGAAUUUGUUGUCCUUCUGAGUGGAUGUGAGCGCAUGUCUCGUAGGCCAUAUGAUGUUUAUCUUUACACCAACAACUUCAUGUUCAGCCGGCAUGCUGAAAAGCAAAAACUAUUGAGCUUCUUGUUGGAGCACAACAAUCCUCCUGGUGAUCAUGCACCGACAGUUCUUCCAAUCAUAGGUGGUUUUGGAGUUGGAAAGAAAACAUUGGUUGCUCAUGUGUGUGCAGAUGAAAGGGUUCGCUCACGCUUCUCCUCUACUUUGCACAUGAAUGGAGACAACCUCUUGACGACACUGGACCAUGGAGGGGCCAUGUUUGACAUGAUGUUGGUAGUUAUAGAGUUUGCUUCUGAUAUAGGUGACGAUGACUGGAAAAAGUUUCACUUGUUUCUCGUAAGAAUGAGCAGAGGAAGCAAGAUCAUCAUCAUAAGUAAACUGAAAAGAUUAGCCCGUUUUGGAUCAGUGCAACCUAUUUUCCUAAGUGCUUUGCCUUAUGAUGAGUUGAGGUAUCUUUUUAAGACCCUAGCAUUCGGGAGUGUAGACCCUGCAGAACAUCCACAACUAGUACAAUUAACAGAUGCAUUUGCCAAGGAAUUAUAUGGUAAGCAAGGUUCACUUGUAGCAGUAAAUACGUUCGCCCAUGUGUUGAGAAUGAACCUCACUGUUCAGUUUUGGCGUUGCAUAUUUGGUAAGGGGAUAAGACAUGUUAAAAGAAACCUCUCCAUAUAUGGUGCACACCCAAGCAAGCUUAAAAAACAAGGCCUUCCAGUCGACAUAACGGACUUUGCUUUGCAUCCACUUACCAUGACAAGUUAUACAAGUAAUCUUCCAAUCAAGGAGGAAUCACCAAGUGUGACAUUUGGAGAGCUUCUAGCAGAUCCUAGUGUUAGGCCAGAAGGAGACUUCACUCUGAUUGAAUAUGAAUCAAGGAUACCCCCUCAUAAAUCAUUUGUUCAUUUUGUUACAAGCCGGGCUCAGGAUACACAUGAAGGAAGUAGUAGUACCUUGCCAGGGAGGAAGCGACGGGGUGGGCCAAUCUAAAUUUUUUCUGAGAUUGUGUAAUGUAUGUAACUCUUGUUGUAUUUUUAUAAACAGAUGUGUUCAUGUAUUAUACUGAACAAAAUGAAUUACAGAUCUCAAUCAAUGUACCGUAAAUUUGUAUUAAGUAUUUGUUAUGAGUGGGGGUCCUAAAUAAAUUUCAGAAUAAAGGGCAGACCCCAAGUAUUUUAUAGCAUGGACAAGGGGAGAACAGAAGGAAAAUUUGUGUCUUUUAUCAGAUCCAACAAUCCACCUCCUGCUCUUAUUCGACAAUCAACAUCAGCAAAAGUGUCCUCUCCUCACUAUCUGUAGCCAGUCUCGGCAAGGAUGGCUUACUAGUGAAACAGGAAAUUAAACUAGCAAGAAAGGGGUCUAUGCAUCAUCUAUACGUGUUUUGCUCAUACCGGUGCAUAUAAAAGAGCAACAAUACUACGUGUGUUUAAACUCCAUGGUUCCAUUCCAUCUAAUCAAGCAACGCAAACGCUGCAUAUAAAAGAGCAAAGCAGCGGAGCUCUGAUUUUUCCUGUGCCGUGGCGUGGAAGUGGAUGUGGACGCCACAAAAAUCAGAUGAGAUCAGACUACGGUCUGCUCGCAGUGGACCUGGCCAGGCGCCUCCCUCGCCUGGCUUGAAUCCGGCUACGACCAUGGGUCCACCAUGGCUGGGCGGCGGUGCAGCUCGCCAUGGUGGUUUGAGGUUGGGGGAAAGGAUUCAUUGCUGGUAGACACUGACCACUGGGCCCGCGGGAAAACGGAAACGGUUUGGCUACGUGAAUGGCAGAACAAGUUGGGCCGAAAUGUCUGUCAGCCGAGAAACAAAAUGGACUCUAGCUUAGGCUUAAUAAUCCUUUCCUGGGCCGGGAUGUUUUGGGCUGGGCACUAGAAACCUGGAAAAAAUAUAUCCAAACCCCAGCCCGGCCUGAAAUAUAUGCAAAAAAAUGGGGAGCAGAGCAACUACUUUUUUUUGCGAGAGAAAUUUUCAAUCUAUUCAUCAAUCAUUUUUUCAGAAAAGGAGGAAGACCCCUGGCCUCUGCAUCUGGGUGAUGCAUACAACCAUUUUAUUAAUUAUUAACACAAGACCUUACAAAGUUAUACAACAAUAAGACUAAAGCCACCGUCUAAGCAACAUCUGUCGCUACUCCUAUCCAGUUGAUGAAGGAGCGCUGAUAGUCUGGGCCUAAUACCAAACAGGUCUCGCAGCCAAACCUAACAUCUAAGACCUGAGAUCCCAACCAGGACGCCUGCCGGGUAUGGGCACCCACCAGUUCGGCGUGCUCCUCAACAAGGACACCUGCCGGGUAUGAGACCGCCGCAGCCACCUGCCACCAAUCCAUCUUCAGAGCUGUAUUGCUGCAUGUACCUUGCCCGGUCUGGCCGCCGCCGACGCCACCACGACGCCAGACGGCGUCGACCUCCUGCGCGAGUCCAUCAUCGCACAUUAGACGCCUAAUCUCCAGGAUGCCAUGCCAUCGAGAUCCGAAACCAUGAAUGUGUAUGAUGAAGCACCACUCCUCUUGUCACCUCCAGCCAUCACUUGCUCCAAAAUGAUGCCCCCAUGAGGGAAAGCGAUACUAAGAACACCAUCAUCGUCCGAUCCGGGAGACCAAGAUCUAGGGUUUCCCCCGGAGCAUCCCGAGCCUGAUGACGCCAACUGCAACGACGAUGCCUCUACAAGGAAACGACAUCAAAGAUGCCGCCAUCGUCCGCCAUGACCGUAGUCGGCGCGAUUUUCAUCGGCAGUUGCGCCACCGGGCGUACGCCACCGGCCUCGCUGGUCCCUUCAACCUUAGCAAACUCGAAAAUGAUGCCCUGAAGAGGGACUACGACGCAAAAGCAUCGCCAUCGCUCGAUCCCAUGGAGAUCUAGGGUUUCCCCCGGAGUUGCCCGAGUUGUCAAAGACCAGACAAGGAUGGAAUCCCGCAGAUCCGUCCAGCUGUCGACGUAUCACACUCGCCAUCGCGCCGAUCAUGACCCGGAGACCAAGCUCACGCCUGGGCCCAGAUCUGGCCGCGCCACCGCCGAUCUGGUCACGCCGCCGCCGUCACUGGCGACUGUGGCGCCCCAGAUCUUGAAGCCGCUUGCCAUGGGGUAUGGGAUCGCCGGAGCGCCGCCAGCCCCCGCCGUGACGUCCGGCCACACGCCACGCUCCAGCCCAGGGGCGUCGGCCCGCUCCAGCUCCUCACGAGCGGGAGGGCACCUAGUCCCCGCCGUCGCCGGCGACGGCAAGGCUUUGCCUGGCCGCGCCUUCGGGCAGCGGCGAGGGAGGAGGAGGACGAGAGGGGUAGUCGGGGUGACGGGAUCUGGGGGCCUCCCAGCCGCCGCACCGGGGCGACUCGGGAGGAGGACGACUAAUCUAUUCAUCAAUCAUGGCAGUACAAAGAAUACAAGAGGUAAUAAAGAUUACAACCAGGUCUAUGGACCGCCUAGCGACGACUACAAGCACUAGAGCGAGCCGAAGGCGCGCCGCCAUCAUCGCCCCUCCAUCACCGGAGCCGGGCAAACCUUGUUGUAGUAGACGGUCGGGAAGUUGUCGUGCUAAGGCCCCAAAGGACCAGACGACCAGCUCACCAGAGCAGUAACCAUCGCUGAUGAAGGGAGUUGUAGACCGGAAAGAUCAAACCUGAAACCACAUGAACGCGAAGACGAACAAAAACUGGAUCCAAAUAGAUCCACCGAAGACCAGCACCGAUCGAAUCCCAUGAGAUCCGACGGAGACACACCUCCAAACAUCCUCUGACAACGCUAUUCGCAUGAUCAGGAUGGGGAUAGGAUGUUGGAGACAUUAUUGCUACCGAGGGACAUCGCCGCCACCACACAGCCCCAAUCAAGACGUUCAACCUAGCAAAAACGAGAACGGGGUCCCUCCCGCCGGUGGGGGGCCGAGAUCCUCCGCACCUCCAUAGGCGAAAGGCCAUCGAAGGUGGGGCGGAUCCGCGGCGGCGUUGACUGGAGGAAAAAGGAGACUUUUCUUGAGGAGGAAGAAAAAGGUCUAUGGUAGCAAAGCAACUACCUAAUGGUUACCAUCCCCUCGAGAAACAAACUAACAGUUACCAGCUACCACCUGCGGGGGCUCCCGCAAGGGUCACUUUUUUGGCAUGGGAGCGUUUGACGUUCAUAAAAAAGGCAAACGGGCGACAUCGAUAAACCAGAGGAGAUGGGGGAGUAUUUGACAAAAAACUACUGCAAUUGCGGUUGUCGUUCCACUAAACUACAACUUUCAAAUUCUUGACCAAAAACUACCAAUAUUUUUUUCUAAUUGUGUGACUAAAAACUACCAAAAAUGAUUGAUGACCGUUUUAGAUGAUCUAACCAUGUUUAUGACAAGUGGGACGCACCCGUCAGAAUUGAUGUGGUAGAGAAGUCAACACUAUUUAUUUUAACCGUUUUGUUGACCGUUAUGACGGGUGGGGCCCACAUCAACCUUCUUCUUCUUUCUCCUCCUCCUCUCUCUCGUUGGCAUUGCAACAAACAUCCUAUGUGGAUGGGAGGGAAGCAGGUCGUCUCCUAUGACGCGCCCGUUGUGAAGACGCCCCCGUCGCUCCCGACUAAGGAAGAUGGUCUACAGGACCUCCCGCACCUCAUGCCUGAGUGGACGGCGACGACAACCACUUGUCUUCCCGCGGAUAGCUAUGGCCGGCUCGGUCGAAUUCACGUCGUCGUUGUCCACGCCGGCGAGAGGAGCGCCGUCGCCGUCACCGACUCCAUCGUGGAGCUCGAGCUCAUACAGGGAUCCGAGGAAAGGUGGCAUCGACAUGUCGGCAAGCAGCUGGCUGGGCUGCAUCUCGCGUGCCGCUGGCCGUGCUGCAUCUCGCAGGCCAGCAGCGCACCAGCCAAGUUAGCACACGAGCAGCUCGUGUGCUAGCUUGGCUAGCUUGCUUAUGAGCAGGAGCAGGAGCAAAGCAGUGGUCGCCAUCAUCUUCUCGUCCUUGAGCUCGUCAGAAAAACCAUGGUGACAAGCUCCGCCGGGGACCAGUGACCCGCCGUCGCCGCCGGCCGCCGGUGCCCACGCGACCCGCCGUCACCGUCGCCGGUCACCGCUGCACUCUGCUCCCCCGCUUCCGCAACCUCCUCCUUCCAACCCUAACCCUACCCGCCGUCGCCGCUCUCCAUAGCCGCCGCUGCUGUCCCGUGUCGCCGCCCUUCCCCACCCCCGCUUCCGCCCUCUCUCCCUCUAGCUGCCGCUGCCGCUAUUGUCCAUAGCCGCCGCCGCGCCACCUCCGCACUGGGCCACCGCAUCCAGCUGCCGCUCCUCUGGCCGUCACUACCCAGGCCACCGUCGCGCCCACUCCAGCCGCCGCCGCCGCCCUGGCCACCACCGUGCCUCCUACCCCAGCCACCGCCGUCGCCGCUGCAAUGUCUUCUGCUGCGUCGUCUCCCUUCGGCCCCAUGUACGCGGGCGCGUCGUCCCCCUUCACCCACAUGCAGCCGGCCCCACCAAUGGCCGGCGGCCACGCUCCGCCCGCCCCGGUUCAGCCCCUCGGCGGCUACACCACGCCGCAGCUUUUCCGGCGGGCCAUCCGGCCUACUUCGACGAGCUGUAGCAGCCGACCGGUGCCGGCUCCGCGGCUCUGCCCGCCCCGCCGAUGGCCGACGGCCAUGCUCCGCUCGCCCCGGUUCAACCCUACGCUGGCUUCGCCUCGCUGCCGGUCUCCCGGCCAUGGGGCCCUACUCCUUUGGCUGUCCUGCACUCGGCCCCAUCACCGAACAACUUCGGCACUGGCGGCGCUUGGUACAUGGACUCGGGCGCCAUCGCCCACAUGACAUCUCAUCCCGGUACCCUAACCUCCUUCACUCCGGUUCAUACUCCUACUCGCAUCACCGUUGGUAACAGUUCCUCUCUACCUAUCACACAUGUUGGUCGUACUUCGUUUCCUUCCACAUAUAUGCCUGUCACCAUGACUAAUGUUCUUGUUUCUCCUGAUUUAGUUACGAACCUUGUCUCUGUUCGUCGUCUUGCUCGUGAGAAUCCCAUUACCGUUGAAUUUGUCGGUUUUUCUGUGAAGGAUGCCCGUACUCGGAUGGUCCUUCACCGUUGUGAUAGUCCUGACGAGCACUAUCCGGUGCACUCCUCCGCCACCGCCUACACCACCCAAGUCGCCCCCGCCGCAGGUGUCGACCUUUGGCAUGCUUGUUUGGGACACCCGAACCCCACCACUUUGCGUCAAAUUCUUCAGGUUUUUCAUUCUCGUGCAAUAAGAUCGACGACCAUACUUGUGAGGCUUGUCGUAUUGGCAAGCACGUUGGUCUUCCCUUUAGCGCCUCUACCACUAUUUCCACUUUUCCAUUUCAGUUAUUGCAUAGUGAUGUUUGGACAUCCCCGGUUACGAGCAACACGGGCUACCUAUACUAUUUGGUGAUCUUAGAUGAUUUCUCUCAUUAUGUGUGGACAUUUCCUCUUUGUCGCAUGUCCGACGCCCUUUCCACACUCACCGCCUUUUAUUCCUAUGUCACCACACAGUUAGGUCGUCCUAUCCUUGCAUUACAAACUGACAACGGAAAGGUGUUUGACAACGUCACUGUUCGUAACCUUCUAGCCUCUCACGGCACUAUCUUCCGCCUCACUUGUCCCUACACGUCCCAACAAAAUGGCCGUGCUGAGCGUAUCCUUCGCACUCUUAACGACUGCGUCCGCAUGCUGCUCUUUCACUCUAACGUGCCUCCGGGGUUUUGGCCGGACGCUCUCGCCACCGCCACCCUCCUCAUCAACAUCCGUCCGUGUCGCCCACACUUGAACUAUGCCCCUCACCAUCUCCUCCUUGGUGCGCCCCCAUCUUAUGAUGGCCUUCACAUCUUUGGUUGUCUCUGCUGUCUUAGCAUCGCCGCCACGGCGCCUCAUAAGCUUGCACCUCGCUUCGUCGGUUGCAUCUUCCUCGGCUACCUACCGAACACCAAAGGAUACCGCUGCUACGAUCCCGUCUCACAUCGUGUAUUCACCUCCCGGCACGUUUACUUUGAUGAGAAGGUGUUUCCAUUUCAAGAGGUACCUUCCGUCGCCCCGUCACCGCCGGCAACCGGCGGCCCUCCAGCGACCCCGUCAGGUGGAUGGCCCUGCUCGGUUCUUGGACCGCCUCCGGGCUUCGGCGGUCCUCGCACCGCGGGACGAGCUCUGCCUCACGCCCCCACACCGCCCUCGCCGACUCCGUCAGGGGCCUCGGGAUAGCCCGCCUCGCCGGCCGCCGCCUCGCCGGCAUCUUUGCUGGCAGCCGCUGCGUCGCUGGCCUCUUCGACGGUCGCCCCGUCGCCGGUAUCUUCACCGGCCACCUCGGGCGCCUCGCCGGCUGCUUCGCCAGCUGCGUCGCCGGCCGCUUCGCCGACCGUCUCGCCGCCCGCCUCGUCGGUCGUCCCGGCGCUGCCGUCUCGCCCCAUCACACGGGCCCGCACUGGCGUUCACCGUCCGAGUCUGCGGUACUCGAGCGACGAGUACCUCCUCGCCACCUCCACCGCGGAGCCGUCCCCUAUUCCUGCGUCCGCUGGCGCCGCCCAUCGUGAUCCUCACUGGCUUGCCGUGAUGCAGGAAGAGUUGGACGCUCUCCAACCGAACCGCACCUGGACACUGGUUUCCCCACCUCCUCGCGCCAAUGUCAUCAGCGGCAAGUGGGUCUUUCGUCACAAGACCCGCUCGGAUGGUACACUUGAGUGCUACAAGGCUCGUUGGGUGGUUUGUGGUUUUCGACAGCGCGUUGGAGUUGACUUCACUGAGACAUUUAUACCGGUUGUCAAACCGGGCACGAUCCGCACCGUCCUCCAGCUUGCCGUGUCCCAAGGCUGGCCAGUUCAUCAGAUGGAUGUCUCCAACGCCUUCCUCCACGGCCAUCUUGAGGAGCAGGUUUAUUGUGAGCAGCCCACCGGUUUCGUCGAUGCAUCUCUUCCUGGCCAUGUGUGUUUGCUGUCCCGGUCUCUCUACGGGCUCAAGCAAGCGCCUCGCGCCUGGUACCAGUGGAUCGCCGGGUUUCUUUAGACACUGGGCUUCAGCGUCACUCGCUCGGACGCCUCACUGUUUGUCUACCGCCAUGGUGACACGAGUGCAUAUUUGCUCCUCUACGUCGACAACAUCAUCCUGACGGCCUCCUCCGCAACUCUUCUUCAGCAGAUUACUCUCCGGCUGCAUGACGAGUUCGCCACCAAGGACUUGGGUGCUCUACAUUAUUUCCUUGGCAUUGAGGUUGUUCGGCAACCGGAUGGCUUCUUUCUUCAUCAACAGAAGUAUGCGCACGAGCUCCUUGAGCGUGCAUGCUCAACUGUCACCCUGUUGCUACUCCUGUUGACACGAAGGCCAAGGUUUCUGCUCUUGAGGGCUCGCCAGCGUCGGAUGCUCCCUUCUACCGGUCCAUUGUCGGUGCACUUCAGUAUCUGACUCUCACCCGACCGGAUCUACAGUAUGCUGUUCAGCAGGUGUGUCUCCACAUGCACACCCCUCAUGACUCCCAUUGGACUCUCGUGAAGCGGAUCCUCCGUUACAUUCGCGGCACGAUGACUCUUGGGCUCACCCUCACAGCGUCCACACUUCUCUGGAGAUGGUGGCCUACUCCGAUGCGGACUGGGCUGGCUGCCCCGACACCCGUCGGUCCACCUCUGGCUAUUGCGUUUACCUCGGUCCUUCACUCGUCUCGUGGUCGUCCAAGCGACAACCCACGGUAUCGCGCUCCAGCGCGGAGGUUGAGUACCGAGCUGUGGCUAACGCUAUUGCCGAGUGCACCUGGCUACGACAGUUACUUUAGGAGCUGCAUCACGAUGUCUCCCAGGCUACAGUUGUCUACUACGACAACGUCUCUGCGGUGUACCUCUCUGCCAACCCCGUUCAUCAUCGCCGGACUAAGCACAUUGAGCUGGACAUUCACUUUGUGCGCGAGCAGGUGGCCCUUGGAUGUAUUCGGGUCCUCCAUGUUCCGACUGCACAACAGUUCGCCGAUGUGAUGACGAAGGGACUGCCGACAUCCACCUUCGAGGAGUUUUGUUCCAGUCUCUGCAUCACUGGCGCCGCUUCGACUGCGGGGGGUGUUGAGUAUAUUGUGUACGUGUAUAUUGUGUAUUGGGCCCACCUCCUGUUUACUCUGUAUAGUUGAGUUUGAUGGCCCCCCUCUGCACUGAUAUAUACGUGUGUGGUGCAUCGAUCAAUGCAUUGUGUUUGCACAACCUAUACUUCAUAUUCUACAUUCACCAAGGGGCUGCCAUCAGCUAGCCUGAACGUCUUNNNNNNNNNNNNNNNNNNNNNNNNNNNNNNNNNNNNNNNNNNNNNNNNNNNNNNNNNNNNNNNNNNNNNNNNNNNNNNNNNNNNNNNNNNNNNNNNNNNNNNNNNNNNNNNNNNNNNNNNNNNNNNNNNNNNNNNNNNNNNNNNNNNNNNNNNNNNNNNNNNNNNNNNNNNNNNNNNNNNNNNNNNNNNNNNNNNNNNNNNNNNNNNNNNNNNNNNNNNNNNNNNNNNNNNNNNNNNNNNNNNNNNNNNNNNNNNNNNNNNNNNNNNNNNNNNNNNNNNNNNNNNNNNNNNNNNNNNNNNNNNNNNNNNNNNNNNNNNNNNNNGACACAAGUAUGUACCGAGUCUCUGGGCUACUCUCUCUCUGCAUAUGUAACAGCCUAUGGCAAUGGAAUACAAUAGCGGCUCACAUCUACUGUUCUACUAAAACAUGGCUGUAUCGGAUCAAAUUUCCACAUGAUAUGUCACCAAGUUCUCAAUAAUUCACGAGCAACCGCCUCGGGACCCUUCUCUCUGGAAUUUGUAGAAUGAGACUAUGUGCUUCUCAUCCUUCCGCUAGUCAAGCCAAUGGUUUCCAUCGCCUCCAAACCUUGGAUGUAGGUUUGGCACGUCGAUAUGUUGGGAUGCAUCGUCGUGUCGGCUUUGGGCUUUUCUGGUGCUGACACCAGGACCUGUAAGGAGUAAGAUGUUGUGCUUGAAAUAAGGGUCUCUCGACCCUCGCUCUAUCUCGUCGAAGGCUUAGCCGACACUACAAAUGGCAUGUAGAGUUUGACUUUUUAGCAACAGUUGACCGACGAUUUGGCAUGCUGCGGUUGCGACGGCAAGCCACUGGGGAAGGACAUCGGCAAUCAUUAUUGCAGGCUAGACGAUGAGGCAGAAAAAUAUUGCCGCCUCUUUGCGGUGGUUUGGCUUCAUCCACAAAUCCAGCGCUGAAGAGGCUUGGGAAGCAAGUCCGAAGCCUUUGGCCGAUAUUUUUAAUCGAUCAAGAUCCAGUUCUUCUGAUCUCGUGGCUGCUGCGGUUCACUAAUGCUUCUAGGCAAGGUGUUUCAGUACAUCCAAGGGCUCAGUUCGGCCAGCGGUGCUCUCCUUCUUCAGCGACGUCGAAGGACUUGGGUGCUUGGUGGGCAUGACGAAGAUGGAGCCCUCCAAGGACCCUUUUGUGUUUUCUGUUUUCUAUGGGUCUUGGCUACUGUGUUGUUACUAUUCGAUAGUGUCAUUGCUUGUAUCCUUCUCAGGUUUCUCUACUUCUAUGCGUAUUUGCAAUAUUCCUUACUCAUAUUAAUACAAGUAACGUAUGCCUAUGGUUGUACGUGCUCAAAAGAAGACUCAAAGCUUCAUCCUCUUUCCACGUGCACCCAACUCACCUGCUUCUAUAUCUCUCGGCAAAAUAAAAUUGACAUGUCUAUUUUAUAUAAUACUUUUAUUGUGACCAUAGGUCAGCCUAGAAUUACCGCAAAAUAAUUUCAAAAAGGAGAAAGAAUGAGCAGAGUAGAUCUGCAGCGACCUGUCUGACUUGUGCUUUUUUUUUGCGGGAAGUCUGAUUUGUGGUUUAAACUACCAAUAUUUGCCAUUUCCUAUUCAUAUAAAUGUGUUAUCCAUAUAUAAAUUAAUUGGGCACCGCCAACGCAAUGUCCAAGGCCAAGUUGCUCUGAAUUAAUAAAAUUGUUAAAACAGCAAUGUAUCAAGGGUGUGCAAAUGAAAUGAACAUAAAUAAAAUGACAGUAGGUAGUAUGCAAUUGAAACUAUGCUUAGUGGUACAUUUUUUUACUUUUGACAUCUUUCAUUCAUACAUUAGUUAGUGUUCAGCUCUAGUGUGAAAUUAUGCUUCAUCUGCUAUGAGCAUCUAUAAAUGGACUUGGCUCAUACAAAUUCCGAGUUCAGAAACUAAGUAUGCAGCUAUAGCCAUUGAACGCCCGCAUCAUCAAAUCUGCUUAAAGUGGAGAUGCGAAGGCGCAAAGCUAAUGAUAACCCUGUAUGUCCAUCAAUCAUGUUUAGUAAUACUGAACAUAAAUAAAAUGACAGUAGGUAGGAUGCAAAUGGAACUAUGCUUAGUGGUGAUAGUAAUACGUAGCCGGUGAUCAUGUAAACACUAGCUUUUGGUACGCACUGAAAUCACUGCCCAAGAUAUGGGGAUCAAUAGUACACUUUUUAAUCUGUGGAUAGAACUGGACCUUGUUGCUCUCCAUGUCCACACGAACCAAAUACUGGCGUAGUUUGGACCUGCCCGGGCGCUGUAGUGUAUCAUCGGCCACCCUGAUCAGUUCGGUGAAGACUAGGUAGAUGACGCCGUCUUCAUGAGUGCUCAGGAUAGGGAACGACGGAGCAAUCAUUGCCAUGCCGGUAGAAUGGUAGGACACAUUCUCCCAUAUGUUCUCAACAUUGUACUUGCUGCUUAUUUUCCAGUCUGACAGGUCAGGCGAGAGAGUAUAGACGGUGAGAUCAAAGCCUUUGCCCGGCACUUGUUCAACAUUGCCAUCCAUGCGGACGAGCUUGAUGGUGUCGCCAACACAUGCCAUGGAACGGAACUUCUCGGGGCAGAGGUGGUACCGAUUCCAGGGGCUGCUGGUAUCGUAGGAUGGACAAUCUGCGGGCAACGCGACGAAACGGAGCUCCGGGCUGUCCGAGUUGCUGCACUCUUUGCCCAGAUCACACACCACCAUGCCACCGAGCAGCUCCACCCAGCAGAGGAUUGAUCCCCGAUAAGAGAAACACAAGUGAGAGCAGAAUGCCGGCGGAAGGUGCAGGCGCGCGGGCUGCAAGGUGCUGAAAUUUGAGAUGGGCUCUAGGCCCAUGUAGCAAUUUCUGAAAAAUCACUAAGGGCCCAUGUGGGUUAUAUGGCACUAGGUAUAGUGGGAAGUUUAGUCCCACCCUAGAAGUGGAAGAGGAGUUGGACCUCCUUAUAAGGGUUCUGUUCUACAUGCUAUUGGAGCUUGAGAAGAGAAGAGGCCCUCGCGCACUCCUCCUCCUCCGCCGCCCGCCGCGCCGCGGGUUGCGGGAUUGAGCCGAGCCGAGCUCACGUGGGUUGACGGGAGAGCAGGUCGUACGGAGAAAGCUGAAGCUGACAAGAAGGCCGCCGAGGACGCCGCUGCUGCUACCAAAGCCGCGGCCUCUGCAUGGCCUACUGAAGGGUAUAACUCGUUUAUCCCGCUCCUACUGUUUUUUGUUUUAGCCAUGCUAGCGUUAUACGUAGAUCUUUCUGCAAUUAGCGUAGUAUGUGCUAGUUUGACUGAAUAUCAGUAUGCGAUUAUAUGUGUCAAUGCCAUGCUAGUGAUUUACUCGUGGAUUAAUUUAAUUGAGAAAUUGCCUAUUUACUCAACAAUCCAAAAACCUAUUCUGUGUAGGAAUUUUUCGGCAAGUGGCUUUGCCGCUGCACUGAAACCGGAUAAGUUUACCGGUACAUACUUUAAGCGUUGGCAGACUAAGACCACGUUAUGGCUCACGGCUAUGAACGUGUUCUGGGUCACCGGUGUCUCCACGGGAACGAUUGCUCCUAAACAGGAGAAGGCGUUCAAGGAGGCUACCGUUAUGUUUCUCGGAGCAGUUCUUAGCGUGAUCGGAGACAAACUGGUCGACGCAUAUUUACAUGUGCAUGUCGCCAAGGACUUGUGGGAGGCGCUCGAAUCUAAGUUCGGGGCAGCCGAUGGCGGAAGCGAGAUGUAUAUUAUAGAGCAGUUCCAUGAUUACAAGGUGGUUGAAAACCAUCCUGUGUUGGAGCAGGCUCAUGAGAUAAUAUGCAUUGUUAAGGAGCUUGAACUUCUUAAGUGCGAGUUACCGGGCAAGUUUGUCGCGGGCUGCAUAAUCGCUAAGCUCCCUAAUUCCUGGAGGAACUUUGCCACCACUCUGAAACAUCAGAGGCGUGAAUUCUCUGUGGAGGAUGUCAUUGGCCAUCUGAGUGUUGAGCAGAAUUCAAGGGCAAAGGACUCGCACGGAAAAGGGGCCGAAGGGACUUCUGUCGCCAACAUGGUGAACCAGAAGAACUUCAACUCCCACAAGCCCAAGGGAAAGAACGGUGUCCAACACAAUACCGACUUUAAGAAGAAGGGUAAGAAGACCUGCAGGAAGAACAAGAAGGACGAGGGCUGCUUUAUUUGUGGUUCGGUUGAACAUUGGGCCAACAAGUGCCCAAACAAGUAUAAGAAGUCAGGACAGGACUCCAAGUCCGUCAAGAUCACCACGAAACCCUAUUUCCACCGCCGCAACCUUCUGUACCCGUGAGAUCCCAUCUUCGGGCCUUUUUCGGUGCUCUGCCGGAGGGGGAAUCGAUCACGGGGGGCUUCUACAUCAACACCAUAGCCUCUACGAUGAUGUGUGAGUAGUUUACCACAGACCUUCGGGUCCAUAGUUAUUAGCUAGAUGGCUUCUUCUCUCUCUUUGGAUCUCAAUACAAAGUUCUCCUCGAUUCUCUUGGAGAUCUAUUCGAUGUAACUCUUUUUACGGUGUGUUUGUCGAGAUCCGAUGAAUUGUGGGUUUAUGAUCAAGAUUAUCUAUGAACAAUAUUUGAUUCUUCUCUGAAUUCUUAUAUGCAUGAUUUGAUAUCUUUGCAAGUCUCUUCGAAUUAUCAGUUUGGUUUGGCCUACUAGAUUGAUCUUUCUUGCAAUGGGAGAAGUGCUUAGCUUUGGGUUCAAUCUUGCGGUGUCCUUUCCCAGUGACAGCAGGGGCAGCAAGGCACGUGUUGUAUUGUUGCCAUCGAGGAUAAAAAUAUGGGGUUUAUAUCAUAUUGCUUGAGUUUAUCCCUCUACCUCAUGUCAUCUUGCCUAAAGCGUUACUCUGUUCUUAUGAACUUAAUACUCUAGAUGCAUGCUGGAUAGCGGUCGAUGUGUGGAGUAAUAGUAGUAGAUGCAGAAUCGUUUCGGUCUACUUGUCACGGACGUGAUGCCUAUAUACAUGAUCAUGCCUAGAUAUUCUCAUAACUAUGUGCUUUUCUAUAAAUUGCUCGGCAGUAAUUUGUUCUCCCACCGUAAUACAUGCUAUCUUGAGAGAAGCCACUAGUGAAACCUAUGGCCCCCGGGUCUAUUUUCUAUCAUAUUAAUUUCCUUUCAAUUAGCUAUUUUUAUCAUCGUUUAUUUUGCAAUCUUUACUUUCCAAUCUAUACAACAAAAAUACCAAAAAUAUUUAUCUUAUUAUCUUUAUCAGAUCUCACUUUUGCAAGUGGCCGUGAAGGGAUUGACAACCCCUUUAUCACGUUGGUUGCAAGGUUCUUGAUUGUUUGUGCAGGUACGAGGGAUUUGCGUGUUGUCUCCUACUGGAUUGAUACCUUGGUUCUCAAAAACGGAGGGAAAUACUUACGCUACUUUGUGGCAUCACCCUUUCCUCUUCAAGGGAAAACCAACGCAUGCUCAAGAGGUAGCAUGGAGCAGUUUGGCAUUGAGGACUUGAUCACUUUCCACCUGGACUUUGACCCUGAGAUUAUGGCUCGGUUCUUUGCUUCGGUCCACUUCCAUACUGAUGAGGAACGGACCAUGACAUGGAUGACCAAUGGACAACAGAUGACUGCUAAGUGGAAGGAGUUCAUGGAUUUGCUACUGGUUCGUGAUGAGGGGCUCAACAAGCCCGUUGGUGUUCGCCCUCAUGCCAACCCCGAGUCAGCCAGCAAGAACAAGCUUCAACCCUACUAUGUUGAGAAGAAGCUUCCCAGUGGCAAGAAGGCGUGGGUGCUGAACUCAUUCCUUGACAUCACGCAUCGGAUCUUCCACAACUCCCUCUUUCCGCGCAUUGGUGACAAGGACAAGGUGCAUGACUAUCUCAUGGAUAUGAUGCUCAUCUGUGAGGAGGCGCGUCGUGCUCAGACGCAACCACUUGAUGUCUCACAUAUCAUGUGGUGUGAGCUACAGUUUGCGGUGUUCAACCGUAAGGUACCAAUCUAUGGACCUUACCUGUUUCACUUGAUCUCGAGGACUUGGGAGAAGCUCUAUCCCCAAGAUGAGUUUGCUGCCCCCGGCUGGAUUCGUCAUGAGCCCAUCAAGCUCCGCAUCAAGCCUCAGUGGGCUAACACCACUACCCGUGCUGAGGCAGAGGCUGCUCAGAUGGACGUGGAUGAGGAUGAGAUUGAGGAGGAGGAAGCGGAUGAGGACAGCUCUGCUGGGUAUGCUCCUCCCUCUACUGAGCCCUCAUGGGAUAAGAAGCUGAAGGCCAAGAUGAAGGCCUUGUUCUGCAUGCAAGCCAAGGGGCAGUACAGGACCCAUGUUGCUUCCAAGGAGAGUCGCCGCCGCGACAAGAGGAUCUUGAGGACGUUUGGCGAGGAGAUAUCCAGCGGGUCCGAGAAGCACAUCACCCCAGAGGCAGAAUGGAUGGCGAAGUAGGGCUAUCAGUGGACUGAAUCUGAGGAGGAGCCCAUCCCCGCUGCCGAGUCCGACGAGGAGCGUGACGAGUGAUCGCUUCAGCUUGGGCUACCACCUGUGUCGUAGGUGUCCUCUCUGCCUUUUUGGUGUCUCGAUGCCAAAGGGGGAGAGAGAGUAGGAUUUGCGAGUCGUGUGUCGUGUUGUGUCGUGUUGUCUCACUUUGUCGCUUUGCUUUCGUUUUGUUGGACCUCAUUUGCUUUGGUUUGGCUUGUCCUCGUGAGUCGUAUUUCCUUAUCAUAUGGUGUAAGACAUAUGCACUCUAGCGUAUCUUUUUGUCUUUCAUGCUUAGUAGCCCGUGAGCUUAUGCUAUCUUGUGCCAGUUACUCUAUGCUCAUGUUUAUUAUCUUGUCUCCUUGCUUAGUAUUAGUUAUUUUAUUGCAAGAUAUGCCUCAUCUAUAAAAUAUAGGGGGAGUGUUGAUCCUAGUAUGUGUGCCGUGCAGUCCAAAGCAUUUCUCGAGAGUGCACACGUCUAGGGGGAGCUCGUCUAUAUUUUAUAGAUGUUGCAUUUGCCUAUGCUUCAUUUUAUAUCUCUAUGUGCAAAUCCCGUAUUGUCAUCAAUCCACCAAAAAGGGGGAGAUUGUAAGGGCAUAUUUAUCCCUUAGUAGUUUUGGUGAUUGAUGACAAUGCUUUUGCGGACUAAUCGUGUGCACUGAGCAUUUCAGAUAUAUCAUGCCUAAGCACAAGACGAUUUGGUGCCCCUCGAAGCUCAUUGAAGACGGCGUUUCUCUACGUUUCUUUUCGGUGGAUUUGAGUCGUAGGAAAGCCGUACUAUUAAGAGGGGGUCCGCGUUGGAAAGGUUUGGGUGGAAUCAUCACGUACACGUCUGUUCCUUUCUGCACCACCUUUCCUUUGGCUCUUUGGAGCAUCCUCCGUUUCUCUGUAUCUUUGCAAAAUGAAGGACUCCUAGUGUUGCUGAACUAGGGCAUGCGGUAGUACUGCUGCACAGAGCGGUAGUACCGCAGGCCCCUACGGUAGUACCGGCCAUGGGCGCGGUAGCUAGUACCGCAGGUGCUCGCGGUAGUACCGCUUCUUGGACGCGGUAGUACCGUGGCCUCAGGCCUGCACAGUAGCUCGAGCGGAAGUAGGGGCGGAUGUAAUUUUCUACAUCCGCGCCCUACGCGGUAGUACCGCUCCUGGCUUGCAGUAGUACCGUGUCGGAUUUUUGCACAGAUCAAAACUCAGCGGAAGUAGCCACGGAUGUAUUUUAUAUGUCCAUGCCUUCCCAGCCUAGACUAUUCCUGCCUUGUGGUAGUACCGCAAGGGGGCGCGGUAGUACCGCGCCAGCGGUUCUACCGCUCUAUGCCUUAUCACAUCAGGACUAGUCUUAGGUCCUGCCGCGCCAGCGGUAGUACCGUGGUGCCUCGCGGUAGUACCACGGGCCCUUGCGGUAGUACCGCUUGUAUCGUGUGGUAGUACCGCUCGUCGCGGGCUGAGUUAGUGGAUAACGGUUGGAUUUGUUCUUUCACUAUAAAAGGGGAGUCUUCUUCUCCAAGUUGACCACAUCUUCCACUCCCAAGCUCCAUUGUUGCUCUAAGCUCCAUUUUUGCCCGAUCCCUCUCCCUAGCCAAUCAAACUUGUUGAUUUUCUAGGGAUUGGUUGAGGAGGCACCGGUCUGCACUUCCACCAAGAGAAAUUUGAUUCCCCCCACUAAUCCCUUGCGAAUCUUGUUACUCUUGGGUGUUUGAGCACCCUAGACGGUUGAGGUCACUGCGGAGCCAUAUUCCAUUGUGGUGAAGCUUCGUGGUGUCGUUGGGAGCCUCCAAUUAAGUUGUGGAGAUUGCCCCAACCUUGUUUGUAAAGGUCCGGUCGUCGCCUUCAAGGGCACCAAUAGUGGAAUCACGGCAUCUCGCAUUGUGUGAGGGCGUGAGGAGAAUACGGUGGCCCUAGUGGCUUCUUGGGGUGCAUUGUGCCUCCACACCGCUCCAACGGAGACGUACUUCCCCUCAAAAGGAAGGAACUUCUGUAACACAUCCUCGUCUUCACCGGCUCCACUCUUGGUUAUCUCGUACCUCUACUUGUGCAAGCUUAUAUUUCGUUGGAUCUCUUGCUUGCUUGUGUGCUUGUUGUUGUUACAUCAUAUAGGUUGCUCACCUAGUUGCACAUCUAGACAACCUACUUUGAUGCAAAGUUUAAAUUGGUAAAGAAAAGCUAAAAAAUGUUAGUUCCCUAUUCACCCCCCCCCUCUAGUCAACUAUAUCGAUCCUUUCAUCCAGUUACAAGUCCACCUUUCACUCGCAACCGGUUUGAUGUUUCUUUUAUUUUAUAAUUAGGUUCGAGUCUUUUUUUUGCAUUAGUUGCAAGUCCACCUUAACGUGCAACUAGGUCUGAUUUUUUUUCCUCAGUUGCAAGUCCACCAUUGACUCGUAACUAGGUGUUGAUUGUUUUGGGUCCCAGUUUGCAAGUUAACAUCGACUCGCAACUGGGCCCGCUCCUAUUUUAACCAUUGACUCAAAGAUGGGCUCUCGAUCCUUUUCUUUUCCGUGGUUGCAACUCAGCCAACUACUUGCAACUGGGCUCGAGCCUUCUUUCGUCCCAUUUGCAAGUUCUCCACUGACAUGCAACUGGACCCUUGAUCCUUUUUGCCCUAGUUGCAAGUCCACUCUUGACUCGCAACUAGGUGUUGACUUUUUUUGUCGCAAUCUCAAGUGAAUCAUCGACUCGCAACUAGGCCCGCCCCUUUUUUAUCCCAAUUACAAGACAACCAUCAGCUCAAACUGGGCUCUUGAUCCUUUUCUUUACAGCAGCUGCAAGCCAACCAACGACUUGUAACUAGGCCCGGGCCUUUUUUCAACCUAGUUGCAAGUCCUCUGUUAACAUGCAACUGGGCUCUUCAUCCUUUUUUGGCCCUAGUUGUAAGUCCACCCUUGACUUGCAAUUCGGCCACUCAAUUGCAAGUCCAACAUCGACUCAUAACUGGGCCCUUCAUCCUUUUUUGCCCUAGUUGUAAGUCCACCCUUGACUUGCAAUUCGGCCCGACGUAUUUUACCCAAUUGCAAGUCCAACAUCAACUCGUAAUUGGGCCCUUCAUCCCUUUUUUGCCCUAUUUGUAAGUCCACCCUUGACUUGCAAUUCAGCCCGACAUUUUUAACUCAAUUGCAAGUCCAACAUCGACUAGCAACUGGGCUGACCCUUUUAUUUGCCCGAGUUGUCCACCAUUAACAUGCAACUGGGCUCUUUGACCUUUUUCCCCUAGUUUGCAACUCCAUUAUUUGACUCACAACUGAGCCUAAAUUUGUUUCCUCGGUUGCAAGUCCACUGUCGACUCGUAAAUGGGGCUGAUUUUUUUUUGCCUCUUACGUGACUAAGCCCUACAAUUCAUUUGUUGAAUGUGGAAGUUAUUUGUUAUGGGUAGGAUACAUAGGGAAGGAAGCAUGUCAUCACACCAGUACAUGCAUUAGCUGAUCCUUCGAUGAGCUUUGCAUGUUUGUGCAUAUCAAGGUACGUACUAGCACAUGCACAUAUCCAACGCAAGGCAGAAAAGGCUUGCACGACAAUUAGCGCAUACAAGUACACACUAGAAAACUAAAAAGGUUCACUGUACACUAAAAAAUGUCCAGUUUGUUAAAGAAAAUGUUUAUCGUAUAUAUAAAAAGUUCAUCCUACACUACAAAACUUUAGUUUGUUUAUAAGAAAUGCUCUGAAUGUUUGAAACAUGCUCCCAUUUUAAAAAAUUAUUCACAAAUUCAAAAGGUGUUCAUGUUUUCAUAAAACAUUUCAUUUUUUUGAAUUUUUUUGGGAAUUUCAAGAAAUGUGUCCAUUUUCAAAAUUUGUCCGUGUUUUCAGAAAAUGUCCAGAAUUUUCAAAAAAAUUCGCAUUUAAAAGUAUUUUCAGGAUAUAAAAAAUUGUUCGCGUUUCCAAAACUUCUCGUGUUUCAAAAAGUGUUUGGAAUUAUAUUUUUGUUCAGAAUUUUCAAAAAAAAAACUUGAAGUUCCAAAAAUUCUUUCCGUUUAAAAAAAAUUCGGCAUUUUCAAAAUUAUUCACAAUUUUUCAAUAAAUUGUUCAGACAAGGUUUCAUGCAGCAUUGAGUUGUUAAAUAUUCGCGUUGAUCUUUUGCCACCAACAUUCAUUAGUUCCAGUUUAGGUGCAAGAUGGUUGAGAGUUCUAUUGUCGUUAGGUGCGCCAAUUUUUUCUGUCUUUUUCCCAAAACUGGGCUGGACAAUAAAAAAACACAACAAACAGCGGUUGGGCUGGAAAUCAAAAAAACGAGGCUUUGCUAAAAGAUGACAGGCUUAAACUUGGGCCGAACUGCAGGCCCUCCUCGUGUGUCCACCGUCUCGCCCACCCUUCUUGACGGCACGCCGGUUUCCCUGCUAGUAUUUUAGAUCUGGGCUUCUCCUUCCUCGCUCGAUCCCCAAAUCAAAUCGCUGCCUGCUGCUUCCUCCACCCCAACCCUAACCCUAGCGGCGCCGCCAUCCUCGAUCCCCAAAUCCCUUCUCCCUCCACCAAACCCUAAUCCAAAGCUAGCUAGCCGCCAUGGCCCGUUCCAUGGUUCUGCUCGCCCGCGAGAUUGAUUUCAGCCCCCACGACGAGGGCCGACAGUUCCGGUGGGGGUUCUAUGAAGGAAUGCUGCCAACCCGCAAAGCGAUGAGGGAGGAUGUCAUCAGGUACCUGCGGACCUUCAAGGCCCGCGCAGUCGUCGACAAUCCGCCGGAGCUCUCCUUCCUCCACAUACUGGUGCCGCCGCAAUCCCGACCGCUCCCGCCGACAUGCAUGGACCUGGACUCGGCCCGCAUCUCCAGCACGGACAAGAACCUGGUCGCCCUUUAUGCCGGAGGGUACCGCCCUGGCUCCGAUUUGCUGGGAGGCUAUCUCAUCUACGACGCCAGCAACGACUCCCUCUCCGUCAUCCCCCCUCUUCCCUCCGACGACUUGCGUGGAGCCAUGGGGCACCAGUCGGCCGUCAUCAUGUGCGACCCCCAUGGGGAGGGCUACCUUCUUGCCGAGCUCAUCAAGAAAGGCGGGGGUCUGGCUGGGGUCUGGCUGUGGAAGUCGUCCGCCCCAGAACCGAAAUGGGUCUCGGUACCCGGGAGCCAUCCCCUUCCACCCAGCAGAUUCACCGUUGACUCGUGCUUCUCUUACCGGGGCUCUACCCUUUGCUGGGUGGAUCUGCUCAAAGGCAUGUUGCUCUGUGAUCUCAACCAAGACUGCGACAACAAGUUCAGCUUUAUCAAGCUGCCACAAGACUGUCCAGCCCUGGAUUGGAACUUAAAGGAGUUCAGCUUUGUCAAGCUGCCACAAGACUGUCCAGCCCUGGAUAGGAACUUAGAGGAGUCCAGCUAUAUCAUCAAGUUCUGCACCCGCCCUGAGGAGUUCCGUUCCAUGGCCUGUGUUUGUGACCACAUCAAGCUUGUCUCCUUGGAUGAAUCUGGAUUGGAACUCUCGCUCUGGACUCUGUUGACUGAUCACUCACACUGGAUCAAAACCUCCAAGUACAAUGUUGAUAAAAUCUGGGCAAACGUCAACUAUCAGUCUACUGUUUUGAGACAGCUUAUUCCGUCUCUUCCUGUCCUGAGCAUCCAUGAAGACGGGGUUGUCUACUUGGUCGUGAAUGAUGAAAGCAUCGUGGACCGUCGACUAGAGCAUAAAGGCCAGUAUUUGCUUCGUGUUGACAUGAAGAAUAACGAGGUCCAGAUCUCUCCACAGCCUACAAGGCGUAUUUGUUACCAACUCUUUGCCAGCGAGUUCAGUGCGUACCGACAGCAUUUACAGGAUCGACCGGUACUACCACCACCACUAAGCAUAGUUUCAUUUGCAUACUACUGUCAUUUUAUUUAUAUUCGCCAUCACUGAACAUGCUUUCAUUUCUGUGCUACUGUAAUUAUGCCUAGGUUUUAAAAUGAUUAACAUUCUAAUGCUUGUUUAUCACAUCCACUUUGCUUCAUACUUGCUAAUUGAAAAGGAUAUUUGGCCACCUCAUCAGGUUUAAGAGUAGAUGCCCGAUAUUGAUGCUCAUCCGCAGUCAUGAUUCUGAAAUCAUUUUUUUACUACAAAAUUACUCUGCCCCCUUGUCAUAUUAGGACUUGCACAUCAUGAUGACACUCCUUUGCAUGUUUCAAUCCUGUUUUUUCUUCUUCCUUUUUUACUUGAUAGAGAUAGUGUUAUCAUUAGCUUCACCUCUCCACUUUAAGAUUUGAUGACCUGGGCAUUCGGUGAAUAUAACAGCGUACCUGUAGUUUGUUUCUGAACUUGGAAUUGCACGAGUCAAGUGCAUUCAAAAAUGAACAUAGCAGAUGAAGCAUAAUUUCAAACCAGAGCUGAACACUGCGAAGUGUCUGAAUUGAAGAUGUCAAAAGUACCAAAAUGUACCUUUGACAAAUAUAGCUGCUUCAACAAUUUUAAUUCACAGCAUCCUGGACUGACCCUAGACAUUUUAUUGGUUUUGCCCAAUUAAUUAAUAUCACUGCAUAUGUACUCAACCUUGCACUUGUUCCUUUUUAAAAUUAUUUUUAGGUAACCUGACAUAUGGUCAUGUUAAUAGUAUUGUUUUUGACAAACAUCUCUGUUUUUUUUUUUGGCCAGAGAGAGAUAGAAGCAAGAGAGUUCGGUGCGAGUGAAAAGACGUUGAAGAUUUGAGAUGUUGGCAACAUAACAUGUGGAACUGGUACUUAAAGUCCACUGGAGACAUUUACUGUUAUCAUUAUCUGAUGUUAGUAGUUAUAAACUGAAUGGUGGGUAGUAUGUGUUUUCACUCAUGGUUUUAUGUCUACUGAGUGGCUUGUUUUGGAUUUGUAACUGGUAAUGGCUUGUUUAUUUUUGUGACUGCUGAUUCUGGCUACAUGCAUGAUUGUGAUUUUCCUGCAUGAAUCCUGCUGGUUUGCUAUAAGUCUGGUUGAUUUAAAAGCAAUUUUAGAUGUUUGGAACUAAUUGAUGCCUCCUUUCUCUGCUGUUUGCUUGCCCAUAAUUUGACUGUUAUUUUGACAGAAAAAGAAUAUACAUUCUGGAUUUUAAAGGCACUUAAUUUGUAAGCUGUUGUAUGUUGCUAGACCUGAGGCAUUGGCUCUUGGUGGGGCAAUUUUGCCCUCUUUGUUAGAUUCCUUUUGUGGCAGGCUGUGAGUUUCAUGGACCCUUUGGACUAGUGAAGGAUUGUUGCGUGGCAUGAUAUGCUUGGGUAAGUGGCUAUUGCAGUCUUGAAAAACUGGUAUGGCCGAGGCCGCCCCGUGCAUGUGUCCCUUGUUCAUUUUCGAGCUUCGACAGACUUGUAGCAUGCAAUCAAAGAAAGAAGAAACGAACCAGCAUAGUUGUAAUUUGUUGUUGGUCGUUGAGCGUGCCUUCUCUAAAAGGAAAAUCUGUCUUGAUGAAACAAAAUAUUUUUGACAAUCAAUACCAUGAUAUAUUUAUAGUAGGGAAUUGUACAUUGCAGAGAUACAUGAGCUAACUACAGCAAUUACAAAAUAAAGUCUAAAAGAAACUAGCAAAUCUUCAGAAUAUUUCUCUGAAGACGGCCGUAAAAGUAAAAAUAAUAGAUAAAUCUUUCAAUGAAGAAGACGGCUAUCAAAACCCUAAACCAAUUUAAUAAAAUACUUGUAUUAUUAAGAACUCCACUCAUAGAUGGCGUUCUCUAUCCCUCCCAAUGCCGGUGAGGCCGGUCAAAGGAGUGGGGACCGAUCUAUCUCCAUCUCUCCCAAUGUCGGCGAGGCCCGUUAAAGGAGGGGGAAUCGAUCUGUCUCCAUCUCUUUGAAUGUCGGUGAGGCCGGUCGAAGGAGGGGGAACCGAUCUAUCUCCAUCCCUCCCAAUGCGGGUGAGGCAGGUCAAAGGAGGGUGGACCGAUGUAUCUCCAUCUCUUCGAAUGCUAGUGAGGCCGGUUGAAGGAGGGGGAACCGAUCUGUCUCCAUCUCUCCGAAUGCCGGUGAGGCCGGUCGAAGGAGGGGGGACCGAUCUAUCUCCAUCCCUCCCAAUGCGGGUGAGGCAGGUCAAAGGAGGGGGGACCGAUGUAUCUCCAUCUCUUCGAAUGCUAGUGAGGCCGGUCGAAGGAGGGGCAACCGAUCUAUCUCCAUCCCUUCCAAUGUCGGUGAGGUCGGUCAAAGGAGGGGGAACCGAUCUAUCUCCAUCCCUCCCAAUGUCGUUGUGGUCGGUCAAAGCAGGGGGACCGAUCUAUGGUGAAGACCCCUCCCAAUGUUGGUGAGCCCGGUCAAAGGAGGGGGAACCGGCAGCCACUAGGUUUGUAAGAGGACCUUCUUGAGCGAGUGAAGGAAACAGUGGACUGACGACCUUUUAAAAUAUUGCUAGCUGAAAGUACUACGCAUGAGAAAAACCAGCAUCUUUCACUUAUUCGUGAAUUUGCAGGCGUCGUACUUGUAUAUAUACUUAGUGCAAUCACGAAACCGAGGAACGAAGCCUUGCGCGCGCGUGUCCAACAGAAGCACAGCACCUGCAUCAGCCUAUAUCUAUACGGAACUGCUAUUUCACAUCUAGAUGUGAAAUAUUAUCUCACAUCUAAGUCUAGAACGACAUCUUGUUUUGUCUAUAAUAUUCGUGCAACUUAAUUGCGUCACGUUGUCAGGCGCAACGGCCCGCGUUCGCGGCCGUGCGAGUAGGGGCGGGCCGUUGCUUGUGUUUCUUUUCGCGAUUUUUGGGCUGGUAGGCCAUUUUGUUUUGUCUCGGUUGUUGCCGUCGCCUCGCAUUUUCCCUUGUUUUUUUUUCAUCGUGAGGGGAGGUGGUGAUUCUCAUUCCUUUGCUCAAUCCACACUCUUUCCUCUCCGAAGGGGUUCCAGGUGACAGCGCUGUCGAGAGUGAGAAGGGAGGAGAGACCCCCGCAGUGAAGUGAGUAAUUUCCCCUUCCUUUUUGUGUUCUUCUUUUGUGUAUCCAUCGAUCUAGGGUUUGCCCCCAAUCGAGAAAUCUUGUGUAUGGAUUCAAUGGGACGGUAGAUUUUUGUGUCUAGAGAUUCAAUUCAGACUUAUGCACUUCGAUGGAAACACAAGAUCUUUGAUCGGGCUAUGUCAUUGUGCGCCUGGGUCGUAUGCUUGCUGAAGGUGGUGGAUUGAAGCUUUGCUUUGGGGAUGAGAAUCCGAAGUUCAACCUUGUGGUGAACUCGCCAUCAUCGGCGCACGUACGGUGAUUCCUUCUUGAAGGGGUAGUGUCGGGGAUAUACCCCGCGGUAUAAACCGCCGGAUGUAUGACCCGGCUGGAGUUUGGCGAUUCACUGGCGACCCGCUUGGACCUGGCGGUUUACGAUUCAUUGGUAAUCCGGCAGGCGGGUUAGAGGAGCGACAAGAACCCGGUGGCCCAACGGGCGGUUCAUGAAAGGCCGGCUCAUGUUAUGGUGGGCCGGUUUAAGAGGAAGACAUAAGGAAUAUUCUCCUACAAAGGAAGCAAGACUAGGACUCCACUUGUAAUAGAGUAAUCCUAAUCCAACUAGGACCAGUCAUGUAAACCGCCUCUUCAACAUAUAUAAGGAGGGGCAGGGCUCCCCAAAGAGGGACAAGCAAGAAGAAACAAUCUCAGGGCUAGACACAAAGAGCCGGUUUACGACGACUCCCUCGUGAUGAUAAUGAGACCUAGCCACAAACAACAUGUAGGGUUAUUACCGGAUGAUGUUUCCCGGGGCCCGAAGCUGUCUAAACCCUUGUCUUGUGUUGCGUCUCUCGGUUCCGCUCAACCCCUCUCAAGCUACCACAUAGAUGCGUUGGCCUCACGACUAAGUCCUCACACUAGGACAUCUGUGUUGGGGAACGUAGCAGAAAUUCAAAAUUUUCUACGCAUCACCAAGAUCAAUCUAUGGAGUAAUCUAGCAACGAGGGAAGGGGAGUGCAUCUACAUACCCUUGUAGAUCGCGAUGCGGAAGCGUUGCAAGAACGCGGAUGAGGGAGUCGUACUCGUAGCGAUUCAGAUCGCGGUUGAUUCCGAUCUAAGCGCCGAACCACGGCGCCUCCGCGUUCAACACACGUGCAGCCCGGUGACGUCUCCCACGCCUUGAUCCAGCAAGGAGAGAGGGAGAGGUUGGGGAAGACUCCAUCCAGCAGCAGCACGAUGGCGUGGUGGUGAUGGAGGAGCGUGGCAAUCCCGCAGGGCUUCGCCAAGCACCGCGGGAGAGGAGGAGGAGGGAGAGGGGUAGGGCUGCGCCAAAAGGAGACGUUCUCGUGUCUGUAUGGCAGCCCAAACCUCAAGUAUAUAUAGGGGAGGGGGAGGGCUGCGCCCCCAUCUAGGGUUCCCCCCCAAGGGGUGCGGCCAGCCCUAGAUCGGGUUUGGGGGGCGGCCAAAGGGGUGGAGAGAGGGGGCGCCCCACUAGAUGGGCCUUAGGCCCAUCUGAGACUAGGGUUUCCCCCCCCUUCCCCCUUUCCUGCGCCCUGGCCUCUUGUGGGGGGGCGCACCAGCCCACCUGGGGCUGGUCCCCUCCCACACUUGGCCCAUGCAGCCCUCUGGGGCUGGUGGCCCCACUUGGUGGACCCCCGGGACCCUCCCGGUGGUCCCGGUACAUUACCGAUAACACCCGAAACUUUUCCGGUCACCAAAACAGGACUUCCCAUAUAUAAAUCUUUACCUCCGGACCAUUCCGGAACUCCUCGUGACGUCCGGGAUCUCAUCCGGGACUCCGAACAACAUUCGGUAACCACGUACAUACUUUCCCUAUAACCCUAGCGUCAUCGAACCUUAAGCGUGUAGACCCUACGGGUUCGGGAACCAUGCAGACAUGACCGAGACGUUCUCCGGUCAAUAACCAACAGCGGGAUCUGGAUACCCAUGUUGGCUCCCACAUGUUCCACGAUGAUCUCAUCGGAUGAACCACGAUGUCGGGGAUUCAAUCAAUCCCGUAUACAAUUCCCUUUGUCCAUCGGUAUGUUACUUGCCCGAGAUUCGAUCGUCGGUAUCCCUAUACCUUGUUCAAUCUCGUUACCGGCAAGUCUCUUUACUCGUUCCGUAACUCACAUCAUCCCGUGAUCAACUCCUUGGUCACAUUGUGCACAUUAUGAUGAUGUCCUACCGAGUGGGCCCAGAGAUACCUGUCCGUUUACACGGAGUGACAAAUCCCAGUCUCGAUUCGUGCCAACCCAACAGACACUUUCGGAGAUACCCGUAGUGCACCUUUAUAGCCACCCAGUUACGUUGUGACGUUUGGCACACCCAAAGCAUUCCUACGGUAUCCGGGAGUUGCACAAUCUCAUGGUCUAAGGAAACGAUACUUGACAUUAGAAAAGCUCUGAGCAAACGAACUACACGAUCUUGUGCUAGGCUUAGGAUUGGGUCUUGUCCAUCACAUCAUUCUCCUAAUGAUGCGAUCCCGUUAUCAACGACAUCCAAUGUCCAUGGUCAGGAAACCGUAACCAUCUAUUGAUCAACGAGCUAGUCAACUAGAGGCUUACUAGGGACAUGGUGUUGUCUAUGUAUCCACACAUGUAUCUGAGUUUCCUAUCAAUACAAUUCUAGCAUGGAUAAUAAACGAUUAUCAUGAACAAGGAAAUAUAAUAAUAACCUAUUUAUUAUUGCCUCUAGGGCAUAUUUCCAACAGUCUCCCACUUGCACUAGAGUCAAUAAUCUAGUUUACAUCACCAUGUGAUUAACACUGACAGGUCACAUCACCAUGUGACCAACAUCCAAAGAGUUUACUAGAGUCAACAAUCUAGUUCACAUCUCUAUGUGAUUAACACUCAAUGAGUUCUGGUUUGAUCAUGUUAUGCUUGUGAGAGAGGUUAUUAGUCAACGGGUCUGAACCUUUCAGAUUCGUGUGUGCUUUACGAAUAUCUAUGUCAUCUUUGUGGAUGCUACCACGCGCUACUUGGAGCCAUUUCAAGUAAUUGCUCUACUAUACGAAUCCGGUUUACUACUCAGAGUCAUCCGGAUUAGUGUCAAAGUUCGCAUCGACGUAACCCUUUACGACGAACUCCUUUUCACCUCCAUAAUCGAGAAAAUUCCUUAGUCCACUAGAUACUAAGGAUAAGUUCGACCGCUGUCAUGUGAUCCAUUCCCGGAUCACUAUUGUACCCCUUGACCAACUCAUGGCAAGGCACACUUCAUGUGCGGUACACUGCAUAGCAUACUGUAGAGCCUAUGUCUGAAGCAUAGGGGACGACCUUCGUCCUUUCUCUCUCUUCUGCUGUGGUCAGGUCUUGAGUCUUACUCAAUACUCACACCUUGUAACACAGCCAAGAACUCCUUUGCUGAUCUAUUUUGAACUCUUUCAAAAUCAUGUCAAGGUGUGCGUUCUUUGAAAGUAUCAUCAGGCGUCUUGAUCUAUCUCUAUAGAUCUUGAUGCCCAAUAUGUAAGCAGCUUUAUCCAGGUCUUCCUUUGAAAAACUCCUUUCAAACAACCCUUUAUGCUUUCCAGAAAUUUUACAUCAUUUCGGAUCAACAAUAUGUCAUUCACAUAUACUUAUCAGAAAUGUUGUAGCGCUCCCACUCACUUUAUUGUAAAUACAAGUUUCUAACAAACUUUGUAUAAACCCAAAAACUUUGAUCACUCCAUCAAAGCGUAUAUUCUGACUCCGAGAUGCUUGCUCUAAUCCAUGGAAGGAUCGCUGGAGCUAGCAUACCUUUUAGCAUCCUUAGGAUCGACAAAACCUUUCUGAUUGUAUCACAUACAACCUUUCCUUACGAAAACUGGUAAGGAAACUUGUUUUGACAUCCAUCUGCCAGAUUUCAUAAAUGCAGCUAAUGCUAACAUGAUUCCGACGGACUUAAGCAUCGCUACGGAUGAGAAAAUCUCAUCGUAGUCAACUCCUUGAACUUGUGAAAAUAGUCUUUGCCACAAGUCGAGCUUCAUAGACGAUAACAUUACCGUCCACGUCCGUCUUCUUCUUAAAGAUCCAUUUAUCUCGGAUUUCAUGGCUUCUAACCAUUUGUCGGAAUAUGGGCCCACCAUCGCUUCUCCACAGCUCAUAGGUUCAUCGUUGUCCAACAACAUGACAUCUCAGACAGGAUCACGUACCACUCUGAAGUAGCACGCAUCCUCGUCGUCCUACAAGGUUUGGUGGUGACUUGAUCCGAAGUUUCAUGAUCACUAUCAUAAGCUUCCACUUCAAUUGGUAUAGGUGCCACAGGAACAACUUCCUGUGCCCUGCUACACACUAGUUGAAGUGACGGUUCAAUAACCUUAUCAAGUCUCCACCAUCCUCCCACUCAAUUCUUUCGAGAGAAACUUUUCCUCGAGAAAGGACUCGUUUCUAGAAGCAAUUACUUUUGCUUCCAGAUCUGAAGUAGGAGGUAUACCCAACUGUUUUGGGUAUUCUAUGAAGACGCAUUUAUCCGCUUUGGGUUCGAGCUUAUCAGCCUGAAACUUUUUCACAUAAGCUUCGCAGCCCCAAACUUUUAAGAAACGACAACUUAGGUUUCUCUAAACGGUGUCGUCUCAACGGAAUUGCGUGGUGCCCCUUUUAAAGUGAAUGCGGUUGUCUCUAAUGCCUAAACCCAUAAACGAUAGUGGUAAUUCGAUAAGAGACAUCAUGGUAUGUACCAUAUCCAAUAGGGUGCAGUUAUGAUGUUCGGACACACCAUCACACUGUGGUGUUCCAGGCGGUAUUAAUUGUGAAACACCUUCCACAAUGUCUUAAUUGUGUGCCAAACUCGUAACUCAGAUAUCUCUAUGACCAUAUCAUAGACAUUUUAUCCUCUUGUCACGACGAUCUUCAACUUCACUCUGAAAUUACUUGAACGUUUCAAUAAUUCAGACUUGUGUUUCAUCAAGUAAAUACACUCAGCAUCUACUCAAAUCAUCUGUGAAGUAAGAACAUAACGAUAUCCACUGCAUGCCUCAGCACUCAUUGGACUGCAUACAUCAAAAUGUAUUACUUCCAAUAAGUUGCUCUCUUGUUCCAUCUUACUGAAAACGAGGCCUUUCAGUCAUCUUGCCCAUGUGGUAUGAUUUGCAUGUCUCAAGUGAUUCAAAAUCAAGUGAGUCCAAACGAUCCAUCUACAUGGAGUUUCUUCAUGCAUAUAUACCAAUAGACAUGGUUCGCAUGUCUCAAUCUUUUCAAAACGAGUGAGUCCAAAGAUCCAUCUACAUGGAGCUUCUUCAUGCGUUCUAUACCAAUAUGACUCAAAUUGCAGUGCCACAAGUAUGUGGUACUAUCAUUACUAUUUUAUAUCUUUUGGCACGAACAUGUGUAUCACUACGAUCGAGAUUCAUUUCAGGUGCAAGACCAUUGAAGGUAUUAUUCAAAUAAACAGAGUAACCAUUAUUCUCCUUAAAUGAAUAACCGUAUUGCGAUAAACAUAAUCCAAUCAUGCUCAACGCAAACACCAAAUCUCGAUGGUAGAGGGAGCAUGCGAUGCUUGAUCACAUCAACCUUGGAAACACUUCCAACACAUAUCGUCAUCUCACCUUUAGCUAGUCUCCAUUUAUUCCGCAGCUUUUAUUUCGUGUUACUAACACUUAGCAACCGAACCGGUAUCUAAUACCCUGGUGCCGCUAGGAGUACUAGUAAAGUACACAUUCAUAUAAUGUAUAUCCAAUAUACUUCUGUCGACCUUGCCUGCCUUCUCAUCUACCAAGUAUCUAUGGUAGUUCCGCUUCAGUGACCGUUCCCCUCAGUACAGAAGCACUUAGUCUCGGGUUUGGGUUCAACCUUGGGAUUCUUCACUAGAGUACCAACUGAUUUGUUGUUUCAUGAAGUAUCCCUUCUUCCCUUGCCCUUCUUGAAACUAGUGGUUUUACUAACCAUCAACAAUUGAUGCUCCUACUUGAUUUCUACUUUCGCGGUGUCAAACAUCGCGAAUAGCUCAAGGAUCAUCAUAUCUAUCCCUGCUUUGUUAUAGUUCAUCACGAAGCUCUACUAGCUUGGUGACAGUGACUAUGGAGAACCAUCACUAUCUCAUCUGGGAGAUAAACUCCCACUCGAUUCAAGCGAUUGUGGUACUCAGACAAUCUGAGCACAUGCUCAACGAUUGAGCUUUUCUCCCUUAGUUUGCAGGCUUAAGAAACUUGUCAGAGGUCUCAUACCUCUUGACGUGGGCACUAGUCCGAAAUCCCAAUUUCAGUCUUCGGAACAUCUCAUAUGUUCUGCGACGUUUCAUAAAAAACGUCUUUGGUGCCACAAUUCUAAUCCGUUAGCAUUACUCACUGAACUAUCACGUAGUCAUCAAAACGUGUAUGUCAGAUGUUUCGCAACAUCUACAAACGACGCUGAGGUUCAGCACACCGAGCGGUGCAUUAAGGACAUAAGCCUUCUGUGCAGCAAUGAGGACAAUCCUCAGUUUACGGACCCAGUCCGCAUAAUUGCUACUACCAACUUUCAACUAAUUUUCUCUAGGAACAUAUCUUAAACAGUAGAACUAAAGCGCAAGGUAUGACAUAAUUUGCAAAGGGUUUUUGACUAUGUUCAUGAUAAUGAAGUUCAUCUGAUUAUUGAACUCCCACUCAGAUAGACAUCCCUCUAGUCAUCUAAGUGAUUCAUGAUCCAAGUCAAACUAGGCCGUGUCCGAUCAUCACGUGAGACGGACUAGUCAUCAUCGGUGAACAUCUCCAUGUUGAUCGUAUCUCCUAUACGACUCAUGUUCGACCUUUCGGUCUCUUGUGUUCCGAGGCCAUGUCUGUACAUGCUAGGCUCGUCAAGUCAACCUAAGUGUUUCGCAUGUGUUCCGAGGCCAUGUCUGUACAUGCUAGGCUCGUCAACACCCGUUGUAUUCGAACGUUAGAAUCUAUCACACCCGAUCAUCACGUGGUGCUUCGAAACAACGAACCUUCGCAACGGUGCACAGUUAGGGGGAACACGUCUCUUGAAAUUUUAGUGAGGGAUCAUCUUACUUACUACCGUCGUUCUAAGCAAAUAAGAUGCAUAACAUGAUAAACAUCACAUGCAAUCAAAUAGUGACAUGAUAUGGCCAAUAUCAUUUUGCUCCUUUGAUCUCCAUCUUCGGGGCACCAAGAUCAUCUUUGUCACCGGCAUGACACCAUGAUCUCCAUCAUCAUGAUCUCCAUCAUUGUGUCUUCAUGAAGUUGUCACGCCAACGAUCACUUCUACUUCUAUGGCUAACGCGUUUAGCAAUAAAGUAAAGUAAUUUACAUGGCGUUAUUCAAUGACACGCAGGUCAUACAAAAAAAAUAAAGACAACUCCUAUGGCUCCUGCCGGUUGUCAUACUCAUCGACAUGCAAGUCGUGAUUCCUAUUACAAGAAUAUGAUCAAUCUCAUACACCACAUAUAUCAUUCAUCACAUCUUCUGGCCAUAUCACAUCACAUAGCACAUGCUGCAAAAACAAGUUAGACGUCCUCUAAUUGUUGUUUGCAAGUUUUUUACGUGGCUUGUAUAGGUUUCUAGCAAGAACGUUUCUUACCUACGUAAAACCACAACGUGAUAUGCCAAUUUCUAUUUACCCUUCAUAAGGACCCUUUUCAUCGAAUCUGUUCCGACUAAAGUGGGAGAGACAGACACCCGCUAGCCACCUUAUGCAUCUAGUGCAUGUCAGUCGGUGGAACCUGUCUCACGUAAGCGUACGUGUAAGGUCGGUCCGGGCCGCUUCAUCCCACAAUGCCGCCGAAACAAGAUAAGACUAGUAACGGCAAGAAGAAUUGGCAACAUCUAUGUCCACAACUACUUUGUGUUCUACUCGUGCAUAGAAACUAUGCAUAGACCUAGCUCAUGAUGCCACUGUUGGGGAACGUAGCAGAAAUUCAAAAUUUUCUACGCAUCACCAAGAUCAAUCUAUGGAGAAAUCUAGCAACGAGGGAAGGGGAGUGCAUCUACAUACCCUUGUAGAUCGCGAUGCGGAAGCGUUGCAAGAACGCGGAUGAGGGAGUCGUACUCGUAGCGAUUCAGAUCGCGGUUGAUUCCGAUCUAAGCGCCGAACCACGGCGCCUCCGCGUUCAACACACGUGCAGCUCGGUGACGUCUCCCACGCCUUGAUCCAGCAAGGAGAGAGGGAGAGGUUGGGGAAGACUCCAUCCAGCAGCAGCACGACGGCGUGGUGGUGAUGGAGGAGCGUGGCAACCCCGCAGGGCUUCGCCAAGCACCGCGGGAGAGGAGGAAUCUGCCGUGACAAUUCCACGACAGGUAGCCUAGGAGUUGUGUAUUUUUCGUUUAUGUUGUGUCUUGUAUCAUAGGGUUAGUGGUUAUCUGGGGGAGUUACUGUCCCGAGGUAUAUGGCCUCAGGGUUUGUUUUUCGCAUUUUUGGGGUCGGUGGUGUUCGGCUGUUGGAUUUUGCUCUAUUAAUAAUAUAUGGUUGCAUGCAUAGUCCUGAUGCAGAGGCCGGGGGUUAUCCUCCUUUAGAAAAAGAGAUUCAAUUCAGUGGGUGGUAGCCUGUAGGCCUGAAGUUGAUACAUGUUCUAGUGUUUGCCCCAUCGAACAGAGAGAUUCAGUGGGGGUGGGCGUUUUUAGUUCAGUGGGCGUUUUUAGUUCAGUAGGCGUGUUUUUAGUGAGACUGUUUGACAGACGGGGGAGAUCCAUCAUGUGUGAUUCAGUUUGUAUCUCUGAAACCAAGUUGUGUUCGAUCCACCCUGCGUGAUGUUUGUUUGUUGUGUACAACUUCCAUAGCAUCUCACUCUAUGUGAUAUUCGUGUGAGUUGUAACAGAAGUAGAAAUUGUCAGAUAUUUACUAGAUGUGUUUGUAGUAAUACGAUUCUAAAUUGCUGUCAAGAUAGCGGUGAGUUGUUUUGAAAUAUAUUUUUUGUGGAUGCAUGCAUAGCCAGGCUGACACCUGUAGUAGGCACAUGUUGGUUGUUUCUCUUAUUAAUCCACAAAAAGUAUCUGUUUGUUAGAUUUGAAUCAUCCCUAUUCUUAAUGGUGCAUUUUCUGAUGGAGUGGUGUGUCUUGCGCAACUUUGCAUGCCUAUAAUACAAAACUGCCUGCUAUUCAAGUGUCUCUGGAUCUGGUUCCACUCAAGUUGAGCCAUCACCAACAUUAGACCCACACGCUUCCGAAGAACAAAGUGAAGGCCCUCAACCCUAUGAACAAGACCAAGAGCAAGAUCAACCUAUUAGUGACGAUGGUUCACCAAGUGAUGCCCAAGAUCAAGUUCACUCCUCCGAGCAACCUCACGAUCAAGAACAAGUUCAAGAGCAAGAGCAAGCUCAAGACGGCGCUCAAAGCGAUCAAGAUGAUGACCCUCAAGUUGACAAUCAUAUGCCUUUGGAGGAACUUUUGGAGCGUCGAGCCGCCAAGAUAUCCUCCGCUCUCAAGCGUCAAGAACAUGUGUUGGAGAAUGUGCUUGGAAGUUUAAGAAAAAGGGUAACUAGACAAUUAACAAACUUUUGUGAGCAUCACGCGUUUGUUUCUUGUGUUGAACCCCAAAAGGUACAUGAAGCGCUUGAGGACUCGGAUUGGCUUGAAGCCAUGCAUGAUGAACUCAACAACUUCGAGCGCAACAAAGUGUGGUCAUUGGUGCCAAGGCCAACGGAGAAUCAUAAUGUCAUUGGAACCAAAUGGAUCUUCAAGAACAAGCAAGAUGCGAACGGCGUUGUCAUUCGAAACAAGGCAAGAUUUGUUGCACAUGCGAAAUCUUUGCUCAUGUUGCUCGCCAUGAAUCUAUUCGCAUGUUGCUUGCAUAUGCAUCUCAUCAUAACUUUAUAUUGCAACAAAUGGAUGCGAAGAGUGCAUUUCUUAAUGGUCCUCUUAAUGAGUUGGUGUAUGUCAAACAACCCCCGGGGUUCGAGGAUCCCAAGUUCCCCAAUCAUGUAUACAAACUCGAUAAGGCUCUCUAUGGCCUUAAACAAGCCCCACGUGCGUGGUAUGAGCACCUUACGGAGUUGUUGCAAGAUCGUGGGUUUGAAAUUGGGAAAAUGGAUCCCACUCUUUUUACUAAGAGGGUUAAAGGGGAUUUGUUCAUAUGCCAACUAUAUGUUGAUGAUAUUAUAUUUGGUUCUCCUAACAAAGCUUUCAAUGAUGUGUUUGCUGCACUUAUGACGAGCAUUUUGAGAUGUCUAUGAUGGGAGAGUUGAAGUUUUUCCUCGUAUCUGAAAUCAAGCAACGAAGAAAGGAAUCAAUCAAGCCAAAUAUACCCAAGACAUGCUCAAGAAAUUCAAGCUAAGUGAUGUCAAGCCAGCCUCUACUCCAAUGCCUACCAAAUGCCAACUUGACAUUGAUCCCAAUGGUAAAGCGGUGGAUCAAAAGGUAUAUCGUUCUAUGAUUGGAUCCUUGCUUUACCUUUGUGCAUCUAGGCCGGAUAUCAUGUUGAGUGUGGGAAUGUGUGCACGGUUUCAAGCAGCACCUAAGGAAAUUCACUUUGUGGCAGUCAAGCGAAUCUUUCGAUAUUUGGCUCAUACCCCAAAUUGUGGCUUAUGGUACCCCAAAGGUUCAAGCUUUGAUCUCAUUGGAUAUUCGGACUCGGAUUGGGCAGGAGACCGUGUGGAUAGGAAGUCAACUUCCGGAGGGUGCCCAUUCCUUAGUCGCUCUCUGGUAAGUUGGUCUUUCAAAGAAACAAAAUUGUGUGUCUCUCUCCACCACCGAAGCCGAGUAUGUUGCUGCUGCUAGUUGUUGUGCUCAACUUCUAUGGAUGAGGUAAACUUUAAAGGAUUACCGUGUCAUUUGUGACAAAGUGCCUCUAUGCUGUGACAAUGAAAGUGCAAUCAAGAUCUCUUACAAUCCGGAGCAACAUAGCAAGACGAAGCAUAUUGAGAUUCGCCAUCACUUCAUCCGGGAUCACAUCAAGCGUGGGAGAUCGAGGUUAUCCAUGUAGGUACUCAAGUGCAACUAGCGGAUAUCUUCACAAAGCCUUUGGAUGAAGCAAGAUUUCGCGAGUUAAGGCAUGAGCUAAAUAUCAUUGAUUUGAGCAAUGUGGCUUGAAUCUAUGCACACCCCACCACACUCAUCAUUUUAUUUUGCUCUAGUUUUAGGCACAGACAUGGGGGGGUGUUGUUCUUUCAAUGAACUCUCCGUCCCCCCAUUAUGCAUAAAUCGAUCAAGUCUUUCACAUUAGCCAUGUUUGAUGGUACGUGUGCUUCAAAGAUGAGUUUGGUCAUGGGCCCAAGGUUAAAAUCUUCGCGGUGCCAUACCUAUUAACUCAAACAAAGGUGGCCUCGGCCACCGACCUCUCCUCAUGAUCAACGGUUGUUGUUGAUUUUGAGGUCUGUGUGUGUGGUUGUGACACCUCUUGUGUGCAUCUCUUUUCCUUUACUUUUGUUCUUGGGGUGUCACUAAUUGUUGUUGCAUUUCUUUGUCAUGUCUCUCUCGAGUUCUCUUAGUCCUCUUGUUUGCAUAAGCCUGCCUUUUUCUUCUCUGCUCCUGCCUGUUUUCGCCUGCACGGUACUACCGCUGAGCCAGCGCGGUACUACCGCCCUGCCCCACGGUACUACCGCACGGAGAGUUGGAGCAAGGGGGUUAUGAGUCGGGGCUGUGGGGAAGUUCCUUUCCCAUACCCAUUCACUCGCCCCCUCGUCUCUCUCUCUCUCUCUUAGGCGACGAACAGGCAGCGGAGGGCUGCCGCCGGGCCGCCAUCUCUGAGCCAUCCUCCGCGUUUCUGUCCGGUGGGAUCGAUCCCCACCCUUCCCUCUUGCCAUGGAUGCCGGUAUUGCCCCCGUUCUUCUCUUCGUUGGUUCUAGUUUUUGGAUCUAGAUUUUUAGGGCAAUAUCCGUUGCAUUCUUCGAUUUUUAGCCAAAUCAGGGCAUGAGUAGGACGAGUAGACUGCUAGAGCAGGUAGAUUGAAGUUUGAACCGCGAAAAAUUGAAUUUGGCAUCUCCGGUAGUACCGGAUCCCUCCACGGAUUUGGUCAGACCGCUGACAUCCGCCUCGAGCGGUACUACCGCUCCAUACUACCGCUGUUAGGCGGUACUACCACUUAGAGAUGUCAAUUUCAGAUUUUCCCCGUUCAUCUUUCACUCUUGUGUCUUCUUUCCUUUUUGGCUUAUGCUUUUUUCCUCUUUCGUGUUCUUGUGUGUGAGUUUCAGGUGGUAGUAGCUCCGGGCAUCAGGCUCGUCGCAAGAAUCCCACCCGUUCCAGUGGCUCCAACCGCUACCGCUCUGCUGAUGUGCCAGUGGGGAGCACCUUGCCAGUAGGUGGCUCCGAUGAGUAGCCAAGACAGAGGGUUAAAGCAGUUGCGUCCAAGAACAAGGGGCCCAAGAGGGCUCAUGAGAUGGGUGCGAUAGAGUCCGGCACGGCUCCUAAGCGCAAUCUGUACCGCGAGCCUCAGGAUCCUUCGCUUGUUCAUCGUAAGUUCUGGAACAAGUUUAAGCAAUCUAUUUACCAUGAUGUGUUGAAGGGCAAGAAGAAUAUGCUUGUGCCAGUCAAGUCUGUUGAUCUCUCUCACAUGGAGAGGGACUUGCCUUAUUUUGGAGCUGCACUUCAGAGGUGCGAGGAGCUGGACAUCAAGAGGAUCAUCUCUUUCAACAAGGAUUUUGAUGCAAAGCUUGUGGCACAAUUCUAUGUCAUUGUACACUUUGGGCAUGAUGAGGACAGGACUCUCACCUGGAUGACCAAUGGUCGACGUAUGUCUGCUACUUGGAAGAGCUUCACGGAGUGUUUGUCAUAUGAUGAUCAGGGGCCCCAGACCCCAGUUGGGUUUCGCCCUCACAGGGAGGCUACUGCUGAAGGAAAUAUGCCCUAGAGGCAAUAAUAAAGUUAUUAUUUAUUUCCUCAUAUCAUGAUAAAUGUUUAUUAUUCAUGCUAUAAUUGUAUUAACCGGAAACAUAAUACAUGUGUGAAUACAUAGACAAACAUAGUGUCACUAGUAUGCAUCUACUUGACUAGCUCGUUGAUCAAAGAUGGUUGAGUUUCCUAGCCAUAGACAUGAGUUGUCAUUUGAUUAACGGGAUCACAUCAUUAGGAGAAUGAUGUGAUUGACUUGACCCAUUCUAUUAGCUUAGCACUUGAUCGUUUAGUUUACUGCUAUUGCUUUCUUCAUGACUUAUACAUGUUCCUAUGACUAUGAGAUUAUGCAACUCCCGAUUACCGGAGGAACACUUUGUGUGCUACCAAACAUCACAACGUAACUGGGUGAUUAUAAAGGUGCUCUACAGGUGUCUCCGAUGGUACUUGUUGAGUUGGCAUAGAUCGAGAUUAGAAUUUUUCACUCUGAUUGUCGGAGAGGUAUCUCUGGGCCCUCUCGGUAAUGUACAUCACUAUAAGCCUUGCAAGCAAUGUGACUAAUGAGUUAGUUACGGGAUGAUGCAUUACGGAACGAGUAAAGAGACUUACCGAUAACGAGAUUGAUCUAGGUAUUGAGAUACCGACGAUCAAAUCUCGGGCAAGUAACAUACCGAUGACAAAGGGAACAACGUAUGUUGUUAUGCGGUUUGACCGAUAAAGAUCUUCGUAGAAUAUGUAGGAACCAAUAUGAUCAUCCAGGUUCCGCUAUUGUUUAUUGACCGGAGACGUGCCUCGGUCAUGUCUACAUAGUUCUCGAACCCGUAGGGUCCGCACGCUUAAAGUUCUGUGACGAUCGGUAUUAUGAGUUUAUAUGUUUUGAUGUACCGAAGAUAGUUCGGACUCCCGGAUAUGAUCAUGGACAUGACGAGGAGUCUCGAAAUGGUCAAGACAUAAAGAUUGAUAUAUUGGAAGCCUAUAUUUGGACGUCAGAAAAGUUCCGAGUGAAAUCGGGAUUUUACCGGAGUGCCGGAGGGGUUACCGGAACCCCCCCGGGGUUAAUGGGCCUAGUUGGGCCCUAGUGGAGAGAGAGAGGGGCCGGCCAGGGCAGGCCGCGUGCCCCCUCCCCCUCUGGUCUGAAUUGGACUAGGAAGGGGGGGCGGCGCCCCCAUUUCCUUCUCCUUCUCCCCCUUCCUUUCCCCCUCCUAGUAGGAGUAGGAAAGAGGGGGGUCCUACUCCUACUAGGAGGAGGACGACUCCUCCUGGCACGCCCUACAGGGGCCGGCCGGCCUCCCCCCUUGCUCCUUUAUAUACGGGGGCAGGGGGCACCCUAGAACACACAAGUUGAUCAUUAAUCUCUCCCAGCCGUGUGCGGUGCCCCCCUCCACCAUAAUCCACCUCGGUCAUAUCGUAGCGGUGCUUAGGCGAAGCCCUGCGAUGGUAGCUUCAUCAGCAUCGUCACCACACCGUCGUGCUAACGAAACUCUCCCUCGAGCUCUACUGGAUCGUGAGUUCGCGGGACGUCACCGAGCUGAACGUGUGCUAAACGCGGAGGUGUCGUACGUUCGGUACUGAGGAUCGGUCGAUCGUGAAGACGUAGACUACAUCAACCGCGUUGUCAUAACGCUUCCGCUUAACGGUCUACGAGGGUACGUGGACAACACUCUCCCCUCUCGUUGCUAUGCAUCACCAUCAUCUUGCGUGUGCGUAGGAAUUUUUUUGAAAUUACUACGUUCCCCAAUAGUGGCAUCCGAGCCUGGUUUAUGCGUAGAUGUUAUAUGCACGAGUACAACACAAGUGAGUUUUGGGCGAUACAAGUCAUACUGCUUACCAGCAUGUCAUACUUUGGUUCGGAGGUAUUGUUGGAUGAAGCGGCCCGGACCGACAUUACGCGUACGCUUACGCGAGACUGGUUCUACCGACGUGCUUUGCACACAGGUGGCUAGCAGGUGUCAGUUUCUCCAACUUUAGUUGAACCGAGUGUGGCUACGCCCGGUCCUUGAGAAGGUUAAAACAGCACUAACUUGACGAACUAUCGUUAUGGUUUUGAUGCGUAGGUAAGAACAGUUCUUGCUCAGCCCGUAGCAGCCACGUAAAACUUGCAACAACAAAGUAGAGGACGUCUAACUUGUUUUUGCAGGGCAUGUUGUGAUGUGAUAUGGUCAAGACAUGAUGCUAUAUUUUAUUGUAUGAGAUGAUCAUGUUUUGUAACGGAGUUAUCGGCAACUGGCAGGAGCCAUAUGGGUGUCGCUUUAUUGUAUGCAAUGCAAUCGCCCUGUAAUUGCUUUACCUUAUCACUAAGCGGUAGCGAUAGUCAUAGAAGCAAUAGUUGGCGAGACGACAACGAUGCUACGAUGGAGAUCAAGGUGUCGCACCGGUGACGAUGGUGAUCAUGACGGUGCUUUGGAGAUGGAGAUCAAAGGCACAAGAUGAUGAUGGCCAUAUCAUAUCACUUAUAUUGAUUUUUUUUGACUAUAUACUGCAAGGCAACAGCCUCACAGUCCUUUAUUAAUAACUAAAAGAAAGCAGUAUAGUUACAAUUAUACAAAUUUACAGAAAAAGAGAGAAAAGAUACUUACAAGCAAAGAGGCUAAGAAAGGUUAGCUAUCCAAGACAGUAAACUAUCUUUAUAUUUACACCUAAUCCUAUGAGACAGAAGAGAGAUGUCAUGGAUAAAGUUCCUUCUCCAUGCUCUAAAAGAAGGUUGCUCAUUUCUGAAGAUCUUCCCAUUCCUUUGUGUCCAGAUAUUCCAAGUAGCAGUGAAGACAACCUCAGUGAAGAAAGGAUGACCGAAAUCCCUCCUAACUGAUUGAGCUUUCUCAUAUGUGGUUUGGUCCGGUUGAACGGACCAAGAAAUCCCAAGAUAAUUCCAAACCCUUUGGCUAAAAUUGCAAGCAAAGAAAAGAUGAGCCCGAUCACUUAUAUUGAUUGCAUGUGAUGUUUAUCCUUUAUGCAUCUUAUUCUGCUUUGAUUGACGGUAGCAUUAUAAGAUGAUCCCUCACUAAAUUUCAAGGUAUAAGUGUUCUCCCUGAGUAUGCACCGUUGCGAAAGUUCGUCGUGCCGAGACACCACGUGAUGAUCGGGUGUGAUAAGCUCUACGUUCAAAUACAACGGGUGUAAGCCAGUUUUGCACAAGCAGAAUACUCGGUUUAAACUUGACGAGCCUAGCAUAUGCAGAUAUGGCCUCGGAACACUGAGACCGAAAGGUCGAGUGUGAAUCAUAUAGUAGAUAUGAUCAACAUAGUGAUGUUCACCAUUGAAAACUACUCCAUCUCACGUGAUGAUCGGACAUGGUUUAGUUGAUUUGGAUCACGUGAUCAUUUAGAAGACUCGAGGGAUGUCUAUCUAAGUGGGAGUUCUUAAGUAAUAUGAUUAAUUGAACUUUAAUUUAUCAUGAACUUAGUACCUGAUAGUAUUUUGCUUGUCUAUGUUGUUGUAGAUAGAUGGCCCAUGCUGUUGUUCCGUUGAAUUUUAAUGUGUUCCUUGAGAAAGCAAAGUUGAAAGAUGAUGGUAGUAAUUACACGGACUGGGUCCAUAACUUGAGGAUUAUCCUCAUUGCUGCACAGAAGAAUUACGUCCUGGAAGCACUGCUGGGUGCCAGGCCUGCUGCAGAUGCAACUGACGACAUUAAGAACGUCUGGCAGAGCAAAGCUGAUGACUACUCGAUAGUUCAGUGUGCCAUGCUUUACGGCUUAGAACCGGGACUUCAACGAUGUUUUGAACGUCAUGGGGCAUAUGGGAUGUUCCAGGAGUUGAAGUUAAUAUUUCAAGCAAAUGCCCGGAUUGAGAGAUAUGAAGUCUCCAAUAAGUUCUACAGCUGCAAGAUGGAGGAGAAUAGUUCUGUCAGUGAACAUAUACUCAAAAUGUCUGGGUAUAAUAAUCACUUGAUUCAACUGGGAGUUAAUCUUCCGGAUGAUAGUGUCAUUGACAGAAUUCUUCAAAUCACUGCCACCAAGUUACAAGAGCUUUGUGAUGAAUUAUAAUAUGCAAGGGGUGGAUAAGACAAUUCCCGAGCUCUUCGUAAUGCUAAAGACUGCGGAGGUAGAAAUCAAGAAGGAGCAUCAAGUGUUGAUGGUCAACAAGACCACCAGUUUCAAGAAAAAGGGUAAAGGGAAGAAGAAGGGCAACUUCAAGAAGAACAGCAAACAAGUUGCUGCUUAGGAGAAGAAACCCAAGUCUGGACCUAAGCCUGAGACUGAGUGCUUCUACUGCAAACAGACUGGUCACUGGAAGCGGAACUGCCCCAAGUAUUUGGCAGAUAAGAAGGAUGGCAAGGUGAACAAAGGUAUAUGUGAUAUACAUGUUAUUGAUGUGUACCUUACUAAUGCUCACGGUAGCACCUGGGUAUUUGAUAUUGGUUCUUUUGCUAAUAUUUGCAACUCGAAACAAGGACUACGGAUUAAGCGGAGAUUGGCUAAGGACGAGGUGACGAUGCGCAUGGGAAAUGGUUCCAAAGUUGAUGUGAUCGCAGUCGGCACGCUACCUCUACAUCUACCUUCGGGAUUAGUUUUAGACCUGAAUAAUUGUUAUUUGGUUCCAGCGUUAAGCAUGAACAUUAUAUCUGGAUCUUGUUUGAUGCGAGACGGUUAUUCAUUUAAAUCAGAGAAUAAUGGUUGUUCUAUUUAUAUGAGUAAUAUCUUUUAUGGUCAUGCACCCUCGAAGAGUGGUCUAUUUUUAUUAAAUCUCGAUAGUAGUGAUACACAUAUUCAUAAUAUUGAAGCCAAAAAAUGCAGAGUUGAUAAUGAUAGUGCAACUUAUUUGUGGCACUGCCGUUUAGGUCAUAUUGGUAUAAAGCGCAUGAAGAAACUCCAUACUGAUGGACUUUUGGAAUCACUUGAUUAUGAAUCACUUGGUACUUGCGAACCAUGCCUCAUGGGCAAGAUGACUAAAACGUCGUUCUCCGGAACAAUGGAGCGAGCAACAGAUUUGUUGGAGAUCAUACAUACUGAUGUAUGUGGUCCAAUGAAUAUUGAGGCUCGCGGCUGGUAUCGUUAUUUUCUCACCUUCACAGAUGAUUUGAGCAGAUAUGGGUAUAUCUACUUAAUGAAACAUAAGUCUGAAACAUUUGAAAAGUUCAACGAAUUUCAGAGUGAAGUGGAAAAUCAUCGUAACAAGAAAAUAAAAUUUCUACGAUCUGAUCGUGGAGGAGAAUAUUUGACUUACGAGUUUGGUCUACAUUUGAAACAAUGCGGAAUAGUUUCGCAACUCACGCCACCCGGAACACCACAACAAAAUGGUGUGUUCGAACAUCGUAAUCGUACUUUACUAGAUAUGGUGCGAUCUAUGAUGUCUCUUACUGAUUUACCGCUAUCAUUUUGGGGUUAUGCUUUAGAGACGGUUGCAUUCACGUUAAAUAGGGCACCAUCGAAAUCCGUUGAGACGACGCCUUAUGAACUGUGGUUUGGCAAGAAACCAAAGUUGUCGUUUCUUAAAGUUUGGGGCUGCGAUGCUUAUGUGAAAAAGCUUCAACCUGAUAAGCUCGAACCCAAAUCGGAGAAAUGUGUCUUCAUAGGACACCUAAAGGAAACUGUUGGGUACACCUUCUAUCACAGAUCCGAAGGCAAGACAUUUGUUGCUAAGAAUGGAUCCUUUCUACAGAAGGAGUUUCUCUCGAAAGAAGUGAGUGGGAGGAAAGUAGAACUUGAUGAGGUAACUGUACCUGCUCCCUUAUUGGAAAGUAGUUCAACAUAGAAACCGGCUUCUGUGACACCUACACCAAUCAGUGUAGAGGCUAAUGAUAUUGAUCAUGAAACUUCAGAUCAAGUUACUACCGAACCUCGUAGGUCAACCAAAGUAAGAUCCACACCAGAGUGGUACGGUAAUCCUAUUCUGGAGGUCAUGUUACUUGACCAAGGCGAACCUACGAACUAUGAAGAAGCGAUGGUGAGCCCAGAUUCCGCAAAAUAGCUUGAGGCCAUGAAAUCUGAGAUGGGAUCCAUGUAUGAGAACAAAGUGUGGACUUUGGUUGACUUGCCCGAAGAUCGGCAAGCCAUAGAGAAUAAAUGGAUCUUCAAGAAGAAGACUGACGCUGACGGUAAUGUUACUGUCUACAAAGCUCGACUUGUUGCGAAAGGUUUUCGACAAGUUCAAGGAGUUGACUACGAUGAGACUUUCUCACCCGUAGCGGUGCUUAAGUCUGUCCGAAUCAUGUUAGCAAUUGCCGCAUUUUAUGAUUAUGAAAUUUGGCAAAUGGAUGUCAAAACUGCAUUCCUGAACGGAUUUCUGGAAGAAGGGUUGUAUAUGAUGCAACCGGAAGGUUUUGUCGAUCCAAAGGGAGCUAACAAAGUGUGCAAACUCCAGCGAUCCAUUUAUGGACUGGUGCAAGCCUCUCGGAGUUGGAAUAAACGUUUUGGUAGUGUGAUCAAAGCAUAUGUUUUAUACAGACUUUUGGAGAAGCCUGUAUUUACAAGAAAGUGAGUGGGAGCUCUGUAGCAUUUCUAAUAUUAUAUGUGGAUGACAUAUUGCUAAUUGGAAAUGAUAUAGAAUUUCUGGAUAGCAUAAAAGGAUACUUGAAUAAGAGUUUUUCAAUGAAAGACCUCGGUGAAGCUGCUUACAUAUUGGGCAUCAAGAUCUAUCGAGAUAGAUCAAGACGCUUAAUUGGACUUUCACAAAGCACAUACCUUGACAAAGUUUUGAAAAAGUUCAAAACGGAUCAAGCAAAGAAAGGGUUCUUGCCUGUGUUACAAGGUGUGAAGUUAAGUCAGACUCAAUGCCCGACCACUGCAGAAGAUAGAGAGAAAAUGAAAAGUGUUCCCUAUGCUUCAGCCAUAGGCUCUAUCAUGUAUGCAAAUGCUGUGUCCCAGACCUGAUGUGUGCCUUGCUAUUAGCUUAGCAGGGAGGUAGCAAAGUAAUCCAGGAAUGGAUCACUGGACAACGGUCAAGAACAUAUUGAAAUACCUGAAAAGGACUAAGGAUAUGUUUCUCAUUUAUGGAGGUGACAAAGAGCUCGUCGUAAAUGGUUACGUCGAUGCAAGCUUUGACACUGAUCCGGACGAUUCUAAAUCGCAAACCGGAUAUGUGUUUACAUUGAACGGUGGAGCUGUCAGUUGGUGCAGUUCUAAACAAAGCGUCGUGGCGGGAUCUACGUGUGAAGCGGAGUACAUAGCUGCUUCGGAAGCAGCAAAUGAAGGAGUCUGGAUGAAGGAGUUCAUAUCCGAUCUAGGUGUCAUACCUAGUGCAUCGGGUCCAAUGAAAAUGUUUUGUGACAAUACUGGUGCAAUUGCUUUGGCAAAGGAAUCCAGAUUUCACAAGAAGACCAAGCACAUCAAGAGACGCUUCAAUUCCAUCCAGGAUCAAGUCCAGGUGGGAGACAUAGAGAUUUGCAAAAUACAUACGGAUCUGAAUGUUGCAGACCCGUUGACUAAGCCUCUUCCACGAGCAAAACAUGAUCAGCACCAAGACUCCAUGGGUGUUAGAAUCAUUACUAUGUAAUCUAGAUUACUGACUCUAGUGCAAGUGGAAGACUGAAGGAAAUAUGCCCUAGAGGCAAUAAUAAAGUUAUUAUUUAUUUCCUCAUAUCAUGAUACAUGUUUAUUAUUCAUGCUAGAAUUGUAUUAACCGGAAACAUAAUACAUGUGUGAAUACAUAGACAAACAUAGUGUCACUAGUAUGCCUCUACUUGACUAGCUCGUUGAUCAAAGAUGGUUGAGUUUCCUAGCCAUAGACAUGAGUUGUCAUUUGAUUAACGGGAUCACAUCAUUAGGAGAAUGAUGUGAUUGACUUGACCCAUUCCGUUAGCUUAGCACUUGAUCGUUUAGUUUACUGCUAUUGCUUUCUUCAUGACUUAUACAUGUUCCUAUGACUAUGCGAUUAUGCAACUCCCGAUUACCGGAGGAACACUCUGUGUGCUACCAAAUGUCACAACGUGACUGGGUGAUUAUAAAGGUGCUCUACAGGUGUCUCCGAUGGUACUUGUUGAGUUGGCAUAGAUCGAGAUUAGAAUUUGUCACUCCGAUUGUCGGAGAGGUAUCUCUGGGCCCUCUCGGUAAUGUACAUCACUAUAAGCCUUGCAAGCAAUGUGACUAAUGAGUUAGUUAUGGGAUGAUGCAUUACAGAACGAGUAAAGAGACUUACCGGUAACGAGAUUGAGCUAGGUAUUGAGAUACCGACGAUCAACUCUCGGGCAAGUAACAUACCGAUGACAAAGGGAACAACGUAUGUUGUUAUGCAGUUUGACCGAUAAAGAUCUUCGUAGAAUAUGUAGGAACCAAUAUGAGCAUCCAGGUUCUGCUAUUGGUUAUUGACCAGAGACGUGUCUCGGUCAUGUCUACAUAGUUCUCGAACCCGUAGGGUCUGCACGCUUAAAGUUCUGUGACGAUCGGUAUUAUGAGUUUAUAUGUUUUGAUGUACCAAAGAUAGUUAGAAGUCCCGGAUAUGAUCAUGGACAUGACGAGGAGUCUCGAAAUGGUAGAGACAUAAAGAUUGAUAUAUUGGAAGCCUAUAUUUGGACGUCGGAGAAGUUCCGGGUGAAAUCGGGAUUUUACCGGAGUGCCGGAGGGGUUACCGGAACCCCCCGGGGGUUAAUGGGCCUAGUUGGGCCCUAGUGGAGAGAGAGAGGGGACGGCCAGGGCAGGCCGCGUGCCCCCUCCCCCUCUGGUCUGAAUUGGACUAGGAAGGGGGGGCGGCGCCCCCAUUUCCUUCUCCUUCUCCCCCUUCCUUUCCCCCUCCUAGUAGGAGUAGGAAAGAGGGGGGGGUCCUACUCCUACUAGGAGGAGGACUCCUCCUCCUGGCACGCCCUACAGGGGGCGGCCGGCCUCCCCCCUUGCUCCUUUAUAUACGGGGUGGGGGGCACCCUAGAACACACAUGUUGAUCAUUAAUCUCUCCCAGCCGUGUGCGGUGCCCCCUCCACCAUAAUCCACCUCGGUCAUAUCGUAGCGGUGCUUAGGCGAAGCCCUGCGAUGGUAGCUUCAUCAACAUCGUCACCACGCCGUCGUGCUGACGAAACUCUCCCUCGAGCUCUACUAGAUCGUGAGUUCGCGGGACGUCACCGAGCUGAACGUGUGCUAAACGCAGAGGUGCCGUACGUUCGGUACUGAGGAUCGGUCGAUCGUGAAGACGUAGACUACAUCAACCGCGUUGUCAUAACGCUUCCGCUUAACGGUCUACGAGGGUACGUGGACAACACUCUCCCCUCUCAUUUCUAUGCAUCACCAUGAUCUUGCGUGUGUGUAGGAAUUUUUUUGAAAUUACUACGUUCCCCAACAACUGCUACUCCGAAGGAUGCUCUAUGGCCUUUCUCUACCAGGAAGGCGUCUGAGACUGGGCAUGUCUCCUAUGAGCUAUGUUCCUUUCUAGAUAUCUUGCACCGGAUCUUUAGGAACUCUCUAUUCCCUCGGGUUGGCAACAAGGAUAUGGUGCACUCUUAUCUGGUGGACCUACUUCUGUUCUGCCAGAAGGAGAAGGGGUCUCAGGAGGUGUUGGAUGUUUCUCAUGUCAUGUUCUCUGAACUUCGUUGUGCCAUCUUGGAGCGCAAAUGCAUCAUACAUGGCCCCUACUUGAUGCAGCUCAUUGAGGAAACAUGUGCCUCUUCAUUUCUGGAGGAGGAUCUUGAUGUUGGAGAAUUGGUCUCCCAUUAGGUGGUUCAGCUCGAGCAGAAGGAGAAGUGGGGGAUGACUGCUCCUGAUCCCUCAGUACACGAUGCAGUCAGGUCCGAUGAUGAUGAUGAUGAGCCAGACUAUGAGCCGUCAGAGGAGCCCUCGUGGGCUAAGAAGCUCAAGCAUAAGAUGAAGAAGUUGUUCUGCCUUCAGGCGCAGGGUUAGUACAAGGCACAUGUUGCUGCAAAGAAGGCCCGUCAGCGUGACAAGGCCAUUAUGAGGCAGAUUGGCCUCAUCGUGUCUGAUGGAUCUGAGGAUAGGAUCACUGACGAGGAGGCUUGGGUCUGUGUGCAUGCUACCUCUUGAGCAUGCGUUAGUUUUCCCUUGAAGAGGAAAGGGUGAUGCAGCAAAGUAUCGUAAGUAUUUCCCUCAGUUUUUGAGAACCAAGGUAUCAAUCCUGUAGGAGACUACAUGCAAAUCGCCUAGUACCUGCACAAACAAUCAAGAACCUUGCAACCAACGCGAUAAAGGGGUUGUCAAUCCCUUCACGGCCACUUGCAAAAGUGAGAUCUGAUAAAGAUAAUAAAAUAAAUAUUUUUGUUAUUUUUGUUGUAUAGAUUGGAAAAUAAAGAUUGCAAAAUAAAUAGUAAACUAGAAUUAUAGAUCGGAAACUUAUAUGAUGUAAAGUAGACUCGGGGGCCAUAGGUUUCACUAGUGGCUUCUCUCAUGAUAGCAUGUAUUACGAUGGGUGAACAAAUUACUGCCGAGCAAUUGAUAGAAAAGUGCAUAGUUAUGAGAAUAUCUAGGCAUGAUCAUGAACAUAGGCAUCACAUCCAUGUCAAGUAGACCGAAACGAUUCUACAUCUACUACUAUUACUCCACACAUCGACCGCUAUCCAGCAUGCAUCUAGAGUAUUAAGUUCAUAAGAACAGAGUAACGCAUUAAGCAAGAUGACAUGAUGUAGAGGGAUAAACUCAAGCAAUAUGAUAUAAACCCCAUCUUUUUAUCCUCGAUGGCAACAAUACAAUACGUGACGGUUCCCUUUCUGUCACUGGGAUCGAGCACCGCAAGAUUGAACCCAAAGCUAAGCACUUCUUCCAUUGCAAGAAAGAUCAAUCUAGUGGGCCAAACCAAACUGAUAAUUCGAAGAGACUUGCAAAGAUAUUAAAUCAUGCAUAUAAGAAUUCAGAGAAGAAUCAAAUAUUGUUCAUAGAUAAUCUUGAUCAUAAACCCACAACUCAUCGGAUCUCAGCAAACACACCGCAAAAAAUAUUACAUCGAAUAGAUCUCCAAGAACAUCGAGGAGAACUUUGUAUUGAGAACCAAAAAGAGAGAAGAAGCCAUCUAUCUAAUAACUAUGGACCCGAAGGUUUGUGGUUAGCUACUCACACAUCAUCGGAAAGGCUAUGGUGUUGAUGUAGAAGCCCUCCGUGAUCGAAUCCCCCUCCAGUAGAUCGCCUGAAAAGGCCCCAAGAUGGGAUCUCAAGGGUACAGAAGGUUGCGGCGGUGGAAAAGUGGUUUCGUGGCUCUCCUGGAUGUUUUCAGGGUAUAAGAGUAUAUAUAGGCGAAAGAAGUAGGUCGGUGGAGCUAUGAGGGGCCCACGAGGGUGGGGGGCGCGCCUACCCCCCUGGGCGCGCCCUCCUGCCUCGUGGCCGCCUCGUUGCGUCUCUAACUUCCACUCCAAGUCUCCUGGAUUGCGUUCGUUCCAAGAAAGAUCCUCGCGAAUGUUUCGUUCCGUUUGGAUUCCGUUUGAUAUUCCUUUUCUGCGAAACACUGAAAUAGGCAAAAAAUAGCAACUGGCACUGAGCCUCCGGUUAAUAGGUUAGUCCUAAAAAUAAUAUAAAAGAGCAUAUUAAAGCCCAUUAAACAUCCAAAACGGAUAAUAUAAUAGCAUGGAACGAUAAAAAAAUAUAGAUAUGUUGGAGACGUAUCAGGAUCACCAAGCUUAAUUCCUGCUUUUCCUCGAGUAGGUAAAUGAUAAAAACAGAAUUUUUGAUGUGGAAUGCUACCUAACAUAAUUUUCAAUGUAAUUUUAUUUAUUGUGGCAUGAAUUUUCAGAUCCGAAAGAUUCAAGAUAAAAGUUUAUAUUGACAUAAAAAUAAUAAUACUUCAACCAUACUAAUAAAGCAAUCAUGUCUUCUCAAAAUAACAUGGCCAAAGAAAGUUAUCCCUACAAAAUCAUAUAGUCUGGCUAUGCUCUAUCUUCAUCGCACAAAAUAUUUAAAUCAUGCACAACCCCGAUGACAAGCCAAGCAAUUGUUUCAUACUUUUGAUGUUCUCAAACUUUUUCAAUUUUCACACAAUACAUGAGCAUGAGCCAUGGACAUAGCACUAUAGGUGGAAUAGAAUGGUGGUUGUGGAGAAGACAAAAAAAGGAGAAGAUAGUCUCACAUCAACUAGGCGUAUCAAUGGGCUAUGGAGAUGCCCAUCAAUAGAUAUCAAUGUGAGUGAGUGGGGGUUACCAUGCAACGGAUGCACUAGAGAAAUAAGUGUAUGAAAGCUCAACAAAAGAAACUUAGUGGGUGUGCAUCCAACUCGCUUGCUCACGAAGACCUACGACAUUUUGAGGAAGCCCAUCAUUGUUAUAUACAAGCCAAGUUCUAUAAUGAAAAUUCCCACUAGUAUAUGAAAGUGACAAAAUAAGAGACUCUCUAUCAUGAAGAUCAUGGUGCUACUUUGAAGCACAAGUGUGGAAAAAGGAUAGUAACAUUGUCCCUUCUCUCUUUUUCUCUCAUCAUUUUUUUGGUGGGCUUCUUUGGCCUCUUUUUUUUAUUUGGGCUUCUUUGGCCUCUUUUAUUUUUUUCGUCUCGAGUCUCAUCCCGACUUAUCGGGGAAUCAUAGUCUCCAUCAUCAUUUCCUCACAUGGGAAAAUGCUCUAAUAAUGAAGAUCAUCACACUUUUAUUUACUUACAACUCAAGAAUUACAACUCGAUACUUAGAACAAAUAUGACUCUAUGUGAAUGCCUCUGAUGGUGUACCGGGAUAUGCAAUGAAUCAAGAGUGACAUGUAUGAAAGAAUUAUGAAGGUGGCUUUGCCACAAAUACGAUGUCAACUACAUGAUCAUGCAAAGCAAUAUGACAAUGAUGGAGCGUGUCAUAAUAAACGGAACGGUGCAAAGUUGCAUGGAAAUAUCUCUCGGAAUGGCUAUGGAAAUGCCAUAAUAGGUAGGUAUGAUGGCUGUUUUGAGGAAGGUAUAUGGUGUGUGUAUGAUACCGGCGAAAGUUGCGUGGUAUUAGAGAGGCUAGCAAUGGUGGAAGGGUGAGAGUGCGUAUAAUCCAUGGUCUCAACAUUAGUCAUAAAGAACUCACAUACUUAUUGCAAAAAUUUAUUAGUUAUCGAAACGAAGUACUACGCGCAUGCUCCUAGGGGGAUAUAUUGGUAGGAAAAGACCAUCGCUCGUCCCCGACCGCCACUCAUAAGGAAGACAAUCAAUAAAUAAAUCAUGCUCCGACUUCAUCACAUGACGGUUCACCAUACGUGCAUGCUAUGGGAAUCACAAACUUUAACACAGGUAUCUCUCAAAUUCACAACUACUCAACUAGCAUGACUCUAAUAUCACCAUCUUCAUAUCUCAAAACAAUCGUAAGGAAUCAAACUUCUCAUAAUAUUCAAUGCACUUUAUAUGAUAGUUUUUAUUAUACCCAUCUUGGAUGCUCACCAUAUUAGGACUAAUUUUAUAGCCAAAGCAAAUUACCAUGCUGUUCUAGAAGACUCUCAAAAUAAUAUAAGUGAAGCAUGAGAGAUCAAUAAUUUCUACAAAAUAAAACCACCACCGUGCUCUAAAAAGAUAUCAGUGAAGCACUAGAGCAAAAUUAUCUAGCUCAAAAGAUAUAAGUGAAGCACAUAGAGUAUUCUAAUAAAUUCCGAUUCAUGUGUGUCUCUCCAAAAGGUGUGUACAGCAAGGAUGAUUGUAGUAAACUAAAAAGCAAAGACUCAAAUCAUACAAGACACUCCAAGCAAAACACAUAUCAUGUGGUGAAUAAAAAUAUAGCCUCAAGUAAACUUACCGAUAGACGAAGACGAAAGAGGGGAUGCCUUCCGGGGCAUCCCCAAGCUUAGGCUUUUGGUUGUCCUUGAAUUUUACCUUGUGGUGCCUUGGGCAUCCCCAAUCUUAGGCUAUUGCCACUCCUUAUUCCAAAAUCCAUUGAAUCUUUACCCAAAAACUUGAAAACUUCACAACACAAAACUCAACAGAAAAUCUCAUGAGCUUCGUUAGUAUAAGAAAACAAAUCACCACUUUAAGGUACUAUAAUGGACUCAUUAUUUAUUUAUAUUGGUGUUAAACCUACUGUAUUCCAACUUCUCUAUGGUUCAUACCCCGCGAUACUAGCCAUAGAUUCAUCAAAAUAAGCAAACAACACACGAAAAACAGAAUCUGUCAAAAACAGAACAGUCUGUAGCAAUCUGUAACUUGCGAAUACUUCUGGAACUCCAAAAAUUCUACCAAAUUAGGACGACCAGGAAUUUUUAUAUUAAUCUACUGCAAAAAGAAUCAGGGUAAAAGCUCUUUUCUGUGAUUUAUGAAAAUUAUUUUCGUGAGCACAAAGUUUCUGUCUUUUUUAGCAAGAUCAAACAACUAUCAUCCAAGAAGAUCCUAAAGGCUUUACUUGGCACAAACACUAAUUAAAACAUGAAAAACACAAUCAUAACAGUAGCAUGAUGAAUUAUUUAUUACUAAACAGGAACAAAAAGCAAGGGACAAAAAUAAAAUUGGGUUGCCUCCCAACAAGCGCUAUCGUUUAACGCCCCUAGCUAGGCAUAAAAACAAGAAUAGAUCUAGGUAUUGUCAUCUUUGGUAGGCAAUCCAUAAGUGGCUCUCAUAAUAGAUUCAUAAGGCAAUUUAAUUUUCUUCCUGGGAAAUUGUCCCAUGCCUUUCCUUAAUGGAAAUUGGAAUCUAAUAUUUCCUUCCGUCAUAUCAAUAAUUGCACCAAUCGUUCUAAGGAAAGGUCUACCAAGAAUAAUAGGACAUGUAGGAUUGCAAUCUAUAUCAAGAACAAUGAAAUCUACGGGCACAUAAUUCCUAUUUGCAACAAUAAGAACAUCAUUAAUCCUUCCCAUAGUUUUCUUAAUGGUGGAAUCUGCAAGGUGCAAAUUUAAAUAACAAUCAUCAAAUUCACGAAAACCUAACACAUCACACAAAGUUUUUGGAAUCGUGGAAACACUAGCACCCAAAUCACAUAAAGCAUACAAUUCAUGAUCUUUAAUCUUAAUUUUCAUAGUAGGUUCCCACUCAUCAUGAAGUUUUCUAGGAAUAGAAACUUCUAAUUCAAGUUUUUCUUCAUAAGAUUGAUUUAAAGCAUCAACGAUAUCUUUAGUAAAAGCUUUAUUUUGAUCAUAAGCAUGAGGAGAAUUUAAUAUGGAUUGCAACAAGGAAAUACAAUCUAUCAAAGAACAAUUAUCAUAAUUAAAUUCCUUGAAAUCCAAACAAGUGGGUUCAUUGCUAUGUAAAGUUUUGACCUCUUCAAUCCCACUUUUACCAAUUUUUUCAUCAAGAUCUAAAAACUCCGAAUCAUUGGGAUGCCUUUUAACUAAAGUUGACCCAUCUCCAGUCCUAUCUUGAUGAAGAUUCAUAUUGGAAAACAAAGAUUUACUAGGAGACACAUCAAUCACUUUUUGAUCUUCAUCAUUGUUAUUAUGAAUACUAGAAGAACACGCUUUCACAAAGCAAUCUUUUUUAGCACGAAUCCUAGCGCUUCUUUCUUUGCACUCAUCAAUGGAAAUUCUCAUGGCUUUGAGAGACUCAUUAAUAUCAUGCUUAGGUGGAAUAGAACUAAGUUUCAAAGAAUCAACAUCAAGUGAAAUUCUAUCCACGUUCCUAGCCAACUCAUCAAUCUUAGGCAAUUUUUCUUCAAGCAAAGCAUUGAAAUUCUUUUGUGAAUUCAUAAAUUCUUUAACACUAGUCUCAAAAUCAGAGGGCAUCUUGUUAAAAUUUCCAUAAGAGUUGUUGUAGGAAUUACCAUAAUUAUUAGAGGAAUUACUAGGGAACGGCCUAGAAUUAAAGUUUCCUCUAUACGCGUUGUUACCAAAAUUGUUCCUACCAACAAAAUUCACAUCCAUAGAUUCAUUAUUAUUCUCAAUCAAAGUGGACAAAGGAAUAUCAUUGGGAUCAGAAGAAACACUCUUAUUAGCAAACAAUUUCAUAAGUUCAUCCAUCUUUUCACUCAAAACAUUAAUCUCUUCAAUCGCAUGAACUUUUUUACUAGUGGAUCUUUCGGUGUGCCAUUGAGAAUAAUUAACCAUAAUAUUAUCUAGGAGUUUAGUAGCUUCUCCUAAGGUGAUUUCCAUAAAAGUACCCCCACGGCCGAAUCUAAAAGAUUUCUAGAAGCAAAAUUCAAUCCGGCAUAAUUUUUUUGUAUAAUCAUCCAUAAAUUCAAACCAUGUGUGGGGCAAUUACGUAUCAUUAAUUUCAUCCUCUCCCAAGCUUGUGCAACAUGCUCAAGUUGCUGAAAAUUCAUAAUAUCGUUUCUAAGAGAGAUGAUCUUAGCGGGAGGAAAAUACUUAGAGAUAAAAGCAUCUUUGCACUUAUUCCAUGAAUCAAUACUAUUUUUAGGCAAAGAAGAGAACCAAGUUUUAGCACGACCUCUAAGUGAAAACGGAAAUAGCUUCAAUUUAACAAUGUCAUUAUCCACAUCUUUCUUCUUUUGCAUAUCGCACAAAUCAACAAAGUUGUUUAGAUGGGUAGCGGCAUCUUCACUAGGAAGGCCAGAAAAUUGAUCUUUCAUGACAAGAUUCAACAAAGCAGCAUUAAUUUCACAAGAUUCAGCAUCGGUAAUAGGAGCAAUCGGAGUAUUGUCUUGAUCCAUAAUGUUGGUAUUGGAAAAGUCACACAAUUUAGUAUUGUUGGUAUUGGAAGUCACACAAUUUAGUAUUGUCUUGAGCCAUCGUGACAAACAAUCAAUCCAACACACAAGCACACAAGAAGCAAGGAAAAAAAAGACGAACGAAAAAGGGCGAAUAAAACGGCAAGGAUGAAGUGGGGGAGAGGAAACCGAGAGGCACAUGGCAAAUAAUGUAAUGCGAGGGAUAGGAGUUUGUGAUGGGUACUUGGUAUGUCUUGACUUGAGCGUAGAUCUCCCGGAAACGGCGCCAGAAAUCCUUCUUGCUACCUCUUGAGCAUGCGUUGGUUUUCCCUUGAAGAGGAAAGGGUGAUGCAGCAAAGUAGCAUAAGUAUUUCCCUCAGUUUUUGAGAACCAAGGUAUCAAUCCAGUAGGAGACUACACGCAAAUCGCCUAGUACCUGCACAAACAAUCAAGAACUUGCAACCAAAGAGAUAAAGGGGUUGUCAAUCCCUUCACAGCCACUUGCAAAAUUGAGAUCUGAUAAAGAUAAUAAAAUAAAUAUUUUUGGUAUUUUGUUGUAUAGAUUGGAAAAUAAAGAUUGCAAAAUAAAUAGUAAACUAGAUUUAUAGAUCGGAAACUUAUAUGAUGUAAAGUAGACCCGGGGGCCAUAGGUUUUGGCUUCUCUCAUGAUAGCAUGUAUUACGGUGGGUGAACAAAUUCUCCCGAGCAAUUGAUAGAAAAGCGCAUAGUUAUGAGAAUAUCUAGGCAUGAUCAUGAACAUAGGCAUCACGUCUGUGUCAAGUAGACCGAAACGAUUCUGCAUGUACUACUAUUACUCCACACAUCGACCGUUAUCCAGCAUGCAUCUAGAGUAUUAAGUUCAUAAGAACAGAGUAACGCAUUAAGCAAGAUGACAUGAUGUAGAGGGAUAAACUCAAGCAAUAUGAUAUAAACCCCAUCUUUUUAUCCUCGAUGGCAACAAUACAAUACGUGUCGGUUCCCUUUCUAUCACUGGGAUCGAGCAUCGCAAGAUUGAACCCAAAGCUAAGCACUUCUCCCAUUGCAAGAAAGAUCAAUCUAGUGGGCCAAACCAAACUGAUAAUUCAAAGAGACUUGCAAAGAUAUUAAAUCAUGCAUAUAAGAAUUCAGAGAAGAAUCAAAUAUUGUUCAUAGAUAAUCUUGAUCAUAAACCCACAAUUCAUCGGACCUCGACAAACACACCGCAAAAAUUAUUACAUCGAAUAGAUCUCCAAGAACAUCGAGGAGAACUUUGUAUUGAGAACCAAAAAGAGAGAAGAAGCCAUCUAGCUAAUAACUAUGGACCCGAAGGUCUGUGGUAAACUACUCACACAUCAUCGGAAAGGCUGUGGUGUUGAUGUAGAAGCCCUCCGUGAUCGAAUCCCCCUCCGACAGAUCGCCGGAAAAGGCCCCAAGAUGGGAUCUCACGGGUACAGAAGGUUGCGGCGGUGGAAAAGUGGUUUCGUGGCUCUCCUGGAUGUUUUCAGGGUAUAAGAGUAUAUAUAGGCGAAAGAAGUAGGUCGGUGGAGCUACGAGGGGCCCACGAGGGUGGGGGCGCGCAUACCCCCCUGGGCGCGCCCUCCUGCCUCGUGGCCGCCUCGUUGCAUCUCUGACUUCCACUCCAUGUCUCCUGGAUUGCGUUCGUUCCAAGAAAUAUCCUCGCGAAGUUGUCGUUCCGUUUGGAUCCGUUUGAUAUUCCUUUUCUACGAAACACUGAAAUAGGCAAAAAAACAGCAACUAGCACUGGGCCUCUGGUUAAUAGGUUAGUCCCAAAAAUAAUAUAAAAGAGCAUAUUAAAGCCCAUUAAACAUCCAAAAUGGAUAAUAUAAUAGCAUGGAACGAUCAAAAAAUAUAGAUACGUUGGAGACGUAUCAGUGCACUGCCCGUGGACUGAUUCUUACGAUGGCACUAGAGGCCCUACACCUGCUGCAGAGGAGUCUAACGAGGAGGAGGAACAUGAUUGGUGAUGUCCUGGAGUAUUGCUACCACCAUCUGUCGUAGGUGUUUUCUCUACCCUUUUGGUGUCUCGAUGCCAAAGGGGGAGAGAGUGUAGGGAUUUGAUGUGUGUCGUUGUGUCGUGAGUCGAGUGUGUUUCUCUCGUUGCAGUUGCUUUCCUCGCUCGAACUCGUUUGCUUUGCUUUGGUUUAUGCUUGUGAGACUUGGCUAUCCUGUCAUAUGGUGUGAGACAUAUGCUAUCUUAUUUUUAUCCUAUGCUUGUCUAGUAUCUUGUUAGUUUGUGGCUGUUAUGCUUUAACUUAUAUCAUAUCAUAUUGCUCACUUACUACUUCUAGCAUCCUAGUUUGUCCUCUCCAUGUUUGUAGAUGCUAGUAUUGCCGGUCUAUAAAAUAUAGGGGGAGUGUUGAUCCUAGUGUGUGGGCUUUGCAUUCCAAAAGCACACUUGAUUAAGCGCACACAUCUAGGGGGAGCCCGUCUAUAUUUUGUAGACUUUGGGGUUUGCUUUUCCUUUGUCAUAUCUUUGUGCAAAUCAUGUAUUGUCAUCAAUCCACCAAAAGGGGGAGAUUGUUAGGGCAUAUUCCUCCCUUAGUGGUUUUGGUGAUUGAUGACAAUGUGGUUGCGGACUAAUCGUGUGCAUUGACAUUUUCAGUCAUUCAAGCAUUUGGCGCAAGACGAUUCGUGCCCCUCGGAGUUUCAAGUAAAGACGGUUUUCUUUCCUUCGGUUCUUUUCUGGUAAUCUUGAGUCAUAGGGAAAACCGUACUAUCAAGAGGGGGUCCGCGGCGAAAAGGUUCGGGUGGAAUCAACACGUACACACUCAUAUUGCACCCUUUGCUUCUUUCGCAUCCUUUGAGUUGUCCAUCGUUUGUACCGAAGAAGCGGAGGAGAGUCACAAGCGGUAGUACCGGGCUAGAGUGGUAGCCGCCUACGGGUGGUAGUACCACGGGCUGGAGCAGUAGUACCGCCUACGGGCGGUAGUACCGCUGCCAGUCUCGCUCGUAGUUGGGACCGUGAUUUUUCGUGUCGGGUUUGAACGGUAGUGCCUCUGGGCUACUACCGUGCUACAUGUUUGUCCCCAGGAAACAGGCGGUUGUAGCACCGGUAACAGUGGCAAUAGUACUGCCUAUGGGCGGUAGUACCGCCCCUACUACCGCGGCUACCACCGCCCGUUACUCUGUUCUUCCCCUGUUCUUCAGGAGCGAUAGUACCGCUCCUGGAGUGGUAGUACCGCUUGCAUGCGGGCUAUGUGGUGCAUAACGGUUGGAUUUGUCCCCCACUAUAAAAGGAGGUCUUCUUCCCCAAGAAGACUUACCUCUUCCUUUCCCAAACUCCAUUGUUGCUCCAAAGCUCAUUUUCGCCCGAUCUCUCUCCCAAGCCAAUCAAACUUGUUGAUUUUCUAGGGAUUGGUCGAGAAGGCCCCGAUCUACACUUCCACCAAGAGAAAUUUGAUCCCCCCCCACUAAUCCCUUGCAGAUCUUGUUACUCUUGGGUGUUUGAGCACCCUAGACGGUUGAGGUCACCUCGUAGCCACAUUCCAUUGUGGUGAAGCUCCAUGGUGUUGUUGGGAGCCUCCAAGCUUGUUGUGGAGAUUGCCCCAACCUUGUUUGCAAAGGUUCAGUCGCCGCCUUCAAGGGCACCACUCACUACUGCAGGAUGCUGCUAACGCGACACUACGAUUGGAGACCCUUUGACGAAACUGUGUGCGAUGCAUUAAUUGCAAACGAUGAUGUAAAAUAAUCGUCAAAAAAGAUGCAAAACGUUGCGAUGGCGGAGCCAUCAAACACGGUUCCCAUUUUAGUUGCAUGUGCGAUGCAGGGCAUACAGUUCAGUUCAAUUAACUGUUUGCGAUGAGGAAGAAGAACAGAAACGGGCAGCCAGAUGCAGGUGUGUGCGAUAUACGGCAUACAGUUCACUCGGAUGAACUGUUUGUCAUGAGGCGGAACAUCAGAAAUGGCAGCCAGAUGAAGGUGUGUGUGAUAUAUGGCAUACAAUUCACUCGGAUGAACUGUUUGCGUUGAGCCAAGCGAACAGAAAUGGUUCAACUUAACAAGAUGUGUGUGAUACGCGGCAAACAGGUCUGGAAUCAGAAAUGUGUGGGAAGACCGAUAACAACACAGACGAUUCCUGUUAACAAGCCGUGUGUGUUGUGAGCAAACGAUUGCUGGUAUACAAUUGUCAGUGAUUGAUGAAAUUAUCACCGACGGGUUCCAUUGUGUAAUCCGUGUGUGAUGUGAUUUGCUCUGUUUAGAGAGCAUCAACAUAUAUACUUAAAAAGACAACAUUGGAAAACCAAAUUAAGCAUACAAUUACACACGUGACUACACACAUAACAUUUCCACACACCAAAGUAAGCAAUUACAUGCAUACUAAACUAGGAGAGACGAGGAUCUAAUCAUCUACUUAUUGUUGCGAUGACGCUUGCCAUUUCUCUGCUUCCGGCUGGAUCCCUGGACGUUUUGGGGAAGGAGGCACUUCCUCAUGUCAACGAUCCGCCUGUACAUGUCGUAUCUCGUGUACGCCUCCUUGGCAGCAUACACGACGUGAGCUUUGUCGAGUUUCUCCAUCCAGGCCGAGUGCCAGGCACGCUUGUCCUUGUUGCGGCAAUCCUUCAUAUCUCUGUAGUAGGGGUCGAUGAUGGCCUCGGCGAGGUGAACCAGUGAGUCCUUCUCAUGCUCCUUGCUGCCCAGAUCUUUUAUUGGCCCUGGAUGUCGACAAGAUUCUGGCAGGCGAUACUCGGAUUCUUGAGCACCUUUACAUCAUUGGUGAUGUCCACCGUAGCGAACAUGUAGUGGGGGUUGUUGACAAACCUGGCAAAACGCUCGCAAGGCCUUGUGGCCAAGCAGUAGUGGUAGACGAGGACGUGGUUGCGCACGCACAUCUAGGCGACGACGACCUUGGGAUGAGACCCGGCAUGAGCACGGGUGUACUCGAGGUCAAACCCGGCCACCUUGUACUUCUCCUCGGCAAACAAUAGCUCCAUGAUGUGGAUGGAGUGCUCCACCCAGACCGGGUUGUUGGUUUACACCACCGAGAGCUCUAUGAACCUUUUGUGGGUGUCCACGACAACAUGCAUGGUGAACUGCUGCUCGUCGUCGGCAGCCGCUCGGAGCACCAUUGGAGCCUCGCAGGAUACCCUCUAAGAAUUUGUCGUGGUGGGUGUGCUUCUUGCAAUGGUGGGGCGUGAUCAAAAGGUUGAAGAGACACAAGGGUUAAAUGGCCGCUAUAAUAAAUGGGGGUCGGCCGGCCUGUAAUCGUCACGUCUUGUCACGACGUUCAUAGCGGAGGAUUCUAGUGCACACUUGACAAUACCGCACCGCACACAUUUCAUUUGACCAUGUGUGGGCUCGAAGAGGCGCCAAAUGUAUCAUCAGUGAGCCUGUUCCCGCGCUACCGCACAGUUUACCGCGCAAGCUUCCCGCACGGCUAGUUUGGCCACGCGUCGGCUAGAAGAGGGACAAAUCGUGGGCGUUUAUUGGCAAAAAGCUUUGUAAAAACGAAGUGUGUGGAAUGACUUCGGUCAUAAGUUUACCCGUGGGUGAUGAGGUAAAAGUUACACAGAAGGGUGAUGAUGGAAACACGAGUGCGAUGAUUAAUUCUACGCUCUACAGGGCACACGGUUGAAGAAACCAACUGUGUGCAAUAAUGUCGGAGAUCGCAAUCGAGUUAGCUAUACAGAUCAUGUGCUAUGAGAUCGACAGGGUAAACAGAUUCGAGAAUGGUUAAUAAAAUCUAAGACCAUUGCAUAUUAAGGUCAAAAUAGUGCUACCAAUAUACAAGUCUCAUACGAUGCCAUUUCAACGAUUUUACCACAAAAUCUCAAAAUAUUACAAGGUUCAAAUUCCAGAGUUAUAUGGCUCAAAUUCAAAGAUUACAAGGUUCAAACUGAUAUUAGAAAUGAAAUUCAGCUCAUUAGUUGCAAACGCUUGCGCUGAUCCGCUGAACAUGGAUAUCAGAGAGGUUCAAACUAAUAUUACCACUUCUAAGUCUGGUUUCGAAACCUCAUAAUUUUUGCAGAGGGGUCAGCCACUAAGAAGUCAUGUAUGGGGUUGACACGAUGACUUCCGAUUACUCUGUCAUCUGAAGUUCCAAAAUGAAAUUCAGCAUUUUUGGAGCCUAUUCCAUUUUGCCACAGCCGCCGGCGCUAAUCAACAAACCAUUCAUUUUUGCGAAAUAGAUGUAGGGCAAACCUCAUUAACUUCAGCACCCUUGCUCUGACAACAAAGAACCUGGUGAAUAUAAUCUCCGGUAAGGUCCCUUGGUAGGAGUUCAAAGUAAUUUCUGAGAGAUGCAGAUCUAGGCAUUCGACGUGAUUGUUAUAUUGUAUCACAUUAUCCACCACUGGGCCUAAUCUUAUCUGCAAAGGAAGAAAACGUGUUAGUGCCUACAUGCAGUUUUGAACACUACUGCAGGCCUAUUUGGUUUGCAGGAUUUGUAAAAUGCACUAACAUGCCAUCUUUGAUCUGACAUGAUUAACAUGGGCAUUUGAUUACAGUCUAGAAAAACGUAGCCUUCUUCACAAGAGGUUGGAGUGGAUGAAAAGUUCCCUAAGAAAACUAGUACACAUGAAUCUAAAGGAGAAAUGCUUAUGGAUUGUAACCAUAUGGAUCAAGCAACCAAUAUGGGGGGGAAACAUGUAUGUACUGAAAUCCUCCAAAAGAAUCCUUAAAAAAUCGUAGUACAUUGUCAUUGUAAACUUGGGAAAAGGUGUCACAAAUUAAACUCCCUUAUGGUUAACAUUUAACAAAAAAGGAACAUCACCUCGAUAUAUAGCUUCUCCAGGCACGGCAAGCAUCUCAGGAAACUGACAACUUGCUCCAGGUUGGGGCCGAUAGAUUCUAGUGCCAAGACCUUCACUGUGCGCAGUUUCGGGGUCAAGCUUGUCGGAAUCAUUUUCUGGAUGACAGACGAACAUACAUCUUCAAAAAUUGGAAAUAAUGUUAAUUUGUAGAAGGAAAGGUAGAAGGCGGUUGUUGUACCUGAACGGGUGUCGAUCCAAUAACAAGUUCGGAGUAUUUGUCAGACGAGUAGCCCACCACUGUCAAUUUCGGCGCAGAAAUGACAUUGAUUCUUGUUGGACCUUCUUGAUCAACUACAAGUAAUCUCUCAAGUGCAGGUGUGUCCUCAAUGACCAUACCAUGGUACACAUCUUGUGAUGUCUUCUUGCUGCACUAGCAACACACAUAAAUAGUCCAGAGAGUCAUGGAGGUGAUGUGGAAGCUACUCAACCCAUUGAUCGCCUGAAGACGAAGGUACUCGAGUGCAGUACAGCCACGGAGUAGGCGCUCCAUGUCACCAUUUGGGUGGCGGAAGGCGACGAGCUCGAGGUGCUUCAGUCGUGGUAGAAUAAGAGCGGGCGCGUCAUUUAGGGGGAUGGCAGUUCCUGAACUUGGCGACGCGUAACGUGGGCGUGAGGCGGAGCACGGACGUUGGCAGUGAGCGCAUAUGCCCAUCAUCAAAAGUGAGCUCCUCGAGCUGAUCUAGGGCGGGGGAUCGAAACCAGUAGUCAAGCUUGGCUCGGUCCUUGCCGUUGGAACGGAACUUGCCCAUUCUAAGGCCCCUGGUUGGGCCAAGGUGACUGUCGAGGAUCUUGGAGAACGCAUCCAAGCUUUUGCGAUAGCCAUGGCAGAGCUCGUGGGUGUCGAUGAGGUCGAGAGGGGUGGAGUUCCAUAGGGGGCGCCACCACCGGGAAAUGACGGUUGUCCGCGCCCCAUAUUUGAUUGGGAGGAGGGAGAUGAUGACUGUCAACAUAUCAUCGGGGAGGCUGAUGAUGAGGUCUAGGCAUGCUGGAGUCACUUGCGGUUCUUGCUCGCCCCGCCUCCGCUUGUUGUCAGCCCCGUACUCCACCUUUGGAGUCUCCUUGUCAGCGACGCUUUCUCAUAGAAGUGGGAGUACAGGGAAUAUUUAGUUAAAACAGGGCAACAGAAAAGUGUAUUGGUAACUAGAAGUUAUUAGGUAGGAAUAUAGUAAGAAAAUGGAAUAACAAUUGGUUGCUUAAAUACUACACAAUUCAUUUGAUAUUGCUAGGUAACUCAACAUGCAGAUACUUGAAAAGAAAACUUACUUUGAACAAAGUCUAGACCGAUGAUAUCAUCGGGGAAGUUAGCAUAUAUCUCAUGACCAGGCUCUUUUAUGUGCAGUGCAAUUUUAGUGCCAACUUUCAGUACAUAAAACUUAGAAAUUUCUUUCCAAAGGCCGGUGCCAAAAUAGGAGUCACCAUGUUCAUCAAGUCUUACAGUAGCAACGAUUGUAAUCCAUGGUUUGUGUUCAGUAUGACAUCCCUGCGGUCUUGAUUUUUGUAAAGGGAAAGAUUGUGCACUACAUAUUAUGUUGCAUAGCAAGGGACGCGCUGCAGAAAAUGAUAGGAUUGUUAAAAAAAUAUGGUAACAUGCAAAUAUGGGCCCAAAUUGAAAGAACUGUACAGCUGUUGAAAUCGAAGGACAAAAAUCUAUAAUUAAACAGAUAGGGUAAACAUGAUGUCAUGGAAAUAUGAGAGUAAUCGAAAGAACAAUACAUCAUUAAUUUGCCUAAUAUAGAAAGAAGAGGGGAAAAUUCCCCUUUGACGUAUAUGGUGCAUGUGGCACCUUUUAUCCAAAUGUAGCAAUUUUUAGUAUAUGUUCAGGAAAGUAGGCCAUGCCAACCGAUUUAGGGUGAGAUGGAACAUACCGCGCACAUCCUCAAGUCAUGUACGGUGAUACGGAACUCCAUUCCAAAUCAAUUGUCAGGUCCUGGCUAGGAAUUAUUAGCACGAACACUAACCCUAGUCGGAUUACUAGCAGAAAUGAUUUGCACAAAUGAAACAACUAAUCACUUAUCACUUGUACCAUUCAAAUAAUCAAUACACUACAUGGAUCUAACGAAACUUACUCAGAUUUCAUGGAUUGGGAGAACAAAAUCAUAGGAUUUCUAUUCCAAAAAGGGGGAGGCAGGAGUAACCAGAGAAACCCUAGGAUCUAUUUGACACAUAAAUGGGUAUAGAUGACUAACCAGUUGUCCGUCAUCGUCGGAGUCGUCGCAGUGGUCAUCGCCCGAGUCGUCACCGGAGUCAGUGUGGAACUCCGCCUCCGGCUGUGGAAGCUCGACGCCGUCGACGACGUCAGGGUGGAGCGAUAACUCACCGGCGGUGACGGCAACCUCUGUCUCCAUCUCCACACCGUGCUCCGGUGCUUCAGCAGCCCCGACGUCGCCACUCCCUCUGAUGGGGCGCUUCGGCGGCAUUCUCAUACACUGACGGCUUUGAGGACUGAGAACGGUGUUGGGGAUGCAGGCGGAGAGAGAGGAUUCUAUGUGUGGCGAGGAUGGUGGGUGCGGUCGCUCGGGCGCACCAUUAAUAUGGAGUGGUAGGAGAGAGGCGGGCGGCGGUCAAACCGCAGGCUCGCCUCCCGGUGAGCCUGCGUACCGGACUGCUGGCAUGCCUACUGUCGUUUCACACAGCUACUCGCACGCCUCCCGAUAACAUUGGGCAGCGAGCACGCCUCCGUCAAUUCACACACCUACACGCACGCCUCCUGGUCUACUUGCGCGGCGGACUGCGCACAUGCGUCCCAUCAACUCACGCCUGCUCGCAUGCGUCCCGUCAACUCAUGCCUGCUCGCACGGCACACAGGUCGCGUGGCGGCACAUAUAUUGUUUUUUUCUAUUUGGAUGAUUAAUGUUGCCGCUUUAUUGCUUAACCGAAGUAUGGCAUGUAUCCCUUGUGGGUCUAACGCUCACGGUUCAAAUAAAUAAUCCAUUUGGGAUAUUGGUUCCCAAUUAUUAAUAAUCUCCCGUUUGUAAUUAGAUAAAUAUUAUAUCAAAACUGCUCUCAAAUUUGACAAAAAAGUACAAUGCCACUUUGUAUUGGUGUCCAUAUGACAACACGAUAAGUUUCAUGAACUUCAGAUAAGUUUUGGAUGUACUAGAAUCUAAAAAUCAAGAUUCUCAAUGUUUGAAAUUUCUUGCACGGGGAGUAAACAUGCACCCAGUGAGACACAUGUGUUUUUGCAAUCCAUUUAGGUGCACUAUCACGUGUGCAUGUAGCUCAAAUUUGAUGUUUGCAAAUUAUACCAUAGAAAAUCAAUCAAUGUACUAAAACGUCUUAAUGAUCUCUGUUUUUUUCAAAAUUAAAACGUCCCUCCUUUGGUAACAUAUGUUCACCGCAGGAUAAUUUAACAUGCAUCGUAGUUGCGGUGGAUUCGCGGUGUGUGUGUGGGUGUGUGUGUCUGGGGGUGGCGGGUGGCUCGCAGUACACUACGAGUUGUGAGCCACCGUGUGGGUUGGCCGUUUUGUUAGGCAGGUGCCACAUCAGAGUCGUGAAUUCGUUAUUUAAAAUAUUACACAACCUUUUCAUACAUACAUGUUUUGGCCACAUGCAGUCGAUGGUUGUCCUACACGACAGUCGAUACCCGCGUGUGAUGCUUUCUGUGGGCCCACGAGGUCGUCGUCCAUCACUUUGACGAACAACCGACAGUGAGGUUAAUUUGACCAGCAAGGUAGAAUCUUUUUUGUUUGUGUUAUGGUGGGAGUAUAUGUAUAGUACUCGUCGAAGAGGUGGGAGGGACUAGCAUAUAUACUAUACGUACGCGUACGUGAACAAGUACACAUCACUCAGUGUUGCGACUUUUAGGUUUCCGAGGCACGUGCCACAUCAAAGUUGUGAAAUUGGCUAUUCAAACAUCACACAACACAUCUUUGGGCCACAUGCAUGCAGGCGGUGGUUAUCCUAGCUAGAACACUCACGUGUGACGCUUCCAUCUGUGGGCCCACGAGGCCAUCGUCGAUGCAUGCAUCACUUUGACCUACAUCGGGAGAGGUUAAUUAAUUUCACCAUCGAGGAGGAUUCGUUUUGGGUUGUAUUACGAUAGGAGCAUAUAGUAUGCGUCGAAGAGGGAGAAGGGGACCAUCAUAUGUAGUACGCUUCAUGAACCUCGCUCUGUGUGGGGGCUUUACAGUUUUUGAGGCAUGUGGCACAUCAAAGUUGUGCAUUUUGGGUAUUCAACAAAUGUUUGUCCCACAUGCAAAGCGAUGGUGGUUGUCCUCUCGCACCCACUUAAGCGGUUAUCAGCGAUAUCGAUGCUUUCCAUCUGUAAGCCCUCUUGGUCCAUCACUACUUUUUGCCUGACAACAAGAGAGGUUAAUUUGACUUAGGAGGGGAUUAUUUUUUUGUUUGUAAUACAGUAUAUAUAUAGGUCAUGCUCUGGGAUGACAUGAUACAGUUUGAGCACACACACAUGGAUGUGUACGCAUGAAUCCCUCCCAUCGAGUCGAAGUGGCUAGUACAACGACACGUCAUGAACCGAUCUCGCUCUCUGUGGGAACUGUAUGAUUUUCGACGCACGCGCCACAUCAAUGUUGUGAAAUGGUAUUCAAACAUGCAUGCACGCAUCACCUCCAUACAUAUGCAUUUAGUGGUUGUCUUCGAAUGGUGCAGUCCCUCGCGUGGUUAUCGGUGACAAGCCUAUAUAUUCGUGAGCCCGCGUGGACAUCCAUGAUCACCUUGACCGACAACAAGAUAGGUUACCAUGGCGGAUUCUUCCUUUGGUUUGUGUUAUCGUACUAUAGGUCAUGGUGAGAUUCAAACCUACUUAAGUUUGAGCGCAUAUACUAUGCCCGUAUGCAUGCAUGAAUCCCCAUCGUCGGCUUGAAGUGUGGUGUGACAUACAUAUGCAUCGUCAACCUAACCCUCACUCAGUGUGGGGAUUUCUAGUUCGAAAGCACGGUGCCACAUCAAAGUUGUUCCAUUGUGUAUUCAAAAACACACCUCUCCAUACAUAUGUUUGGGCCACACGCAUGCAGUGGUUGUUUUCGGGGACUAGCUACUUGCGUGAUUAUUGGCGAGCUAGCCCAUCUCCGGGGUCGCAUGGACGGCCAUCACUUUGACCAACAAUAAUAGAGAGGUUGUACGACCAAGGUGGAUUAUUCUUGGUCCGUUUUAUGAUCCAUCUUGGUGAGAUGCCUCUCUGGCCCGCCGACUGAAAGUGGGUGUGUGGGGGGCUGCUACUUCGCACUUUGCUAGGUGAACCUCGGUUGGGGGGCAUGCGUUCAUAGCUUAGGAUUCCCUUCGUGCCGACACGAGGGGGGCAAGCAAUAUCGCGCGCUUUACGAGAUAGGUGCCACAUCGAAGUUGCAUUUGGUUUUUGAACAUCAAACCACCCUUUUCAUACAUAUAUUUGGUCCACAUGCAAGUGUGUUCAUGUUUUGACCCUCUCCCGCGUCAUUUUUUUGCCAAAUUUAUGAACAUUAGACAAGUCGGAUGACGCAACAGAGACGGUUCACUCAAACUAACCGUGUGCCACGCCGGUGCCCCUGUCACGCACAUCCGCACAGUAUAUUGGGCUCCACGAGGCUUCUCCUCAAAAAUAUCUACCCGCCUACAGCUUUUUUCUGUUUGAUAACACACAGUUAUUAUGUUUCGACUGUAUCUGAUGUUUCUUGUUCCCAAUCUCGCCUGCAUCCCUCGAAAAUAUCUUCCCGCCUCGAGGGUUUCUCUAUUUCAUAACACACGGUUGUUAUCUCCGGACCGUGUGCGAUGCACCAUCAUCAAAAUUUUCAAUAGCCCCGGCAUUUCACUCCUGCGUUUGACUCCAGCGUAGUAAAAUUUUCGGUACCCGCAUCAUUUCCUCAAACACACCCCCACCCCCCUCCACACACACACACACCAAAACCUCCUCAGGCGCGCGCACACACACACACACUUCCUCGCUCGAAACCAUAGCAAGGUCCCCGCCGCCGCCGCAAGGCCUCUAUUGUCAACAUCUGCUGGUUUGCCCGUGCAGCUUGUCCACCGAUCUCCAUACCCAGGACGCCUUGAGUUUCUUAGAUGACACCUGCCAAAUGCCCCUUUCCCACAGAUCUCCAUCCCCACCCCCCACUCCAGAGCGCCGCAGCCUAAGCCCGGCUAUGCUUCCCGUGGAGCUCGAAGAGCGACUGGCCCAAAAGAGGUGUAUCACGGUCUCUUCGCCUGAUGUUGCCGGCUAUGACGCAGGCACUCAAUCAGCGGGCUAGAGUAUGCGGGUAUGUCGCAGAAGCCGGCUAUGACAUCGACGUCGUCGACAGCGACGGCCUGAGGCGGGCCAUGUCACAAGUUAAGUGGUCCACCCCCAACCCCUUGGGUUCAACCGCCAUCGAUCUCAUCCAUGGCCCCGCCACUGAUCUCCUCUGGCUCGCUCUCAAGAAUUUGCCAUCCUACAUCGCCAUUGAGCCCCUUUUGUCAUUUCGGAGGGACACGUUCUGCGACGCUGGCUUGGGAUCCACAGCUUCCAAGUCAGACCUCAUCGACUACGACCACAAGGAGGGCACCCUCUCCGGCUCUUCCAAGGGGAAAGAGCCCAUCUCCUCUUCCAAGGGGAAAGAGCCCGUCUGCGACAUCAGGGAGGGCACCCUACAGCUAUGCUCUUCCAAGGGGAAGGAUCCCAUCAGCGACAACAUGGAGCGCAUCCAGGGUUCGUGCUCUUCCCAUGGAAACGAGCCCAUCUGUGACAAUUGAGGAAACCCAUGCUUUGUUUUCCUGUGCCUCUUCACAGGGGGAAACCCAUGAUUUGUUUUGUCGAGUCCCUUUUGUAGUGUAGUGAGAAUAUGUCUAGUUUUAAUUGCUAUAUUUGGUUGUUUGCAGUAUGCCUUGUUUAUUUUAGUUGUUCACAAUGUGAUGCUCUAUAUGUGCAAUUAUUUACUGUGCAGUACAUUUCAUCAAUCCAGUUUUAAACAUACCGAUAGGAAUGCAUAUAUUUGUUUGUUGUUAAGCCUAUUAUAGCUAGCAUAUGCCUAUUUUAAAGUUUUUUAAUUGUUCGGUUGUUUGUAGUUAGCAUAUGUCCAGUUUCAAAUGCUAUCUUUGGUUGUUUGUAGUAUGCCUUGUUUAUUCCAGUUAUUCACAACGUGAUGUUCUAUAUGUGCAAGUAUAAACUAUGCAGUUCAAUUUCAUCAAUACCAAUUUCAAUAAUACCAUGAUGAAUGACUACAUUUGGUUGUUGCAUCUUGUAGUUAACACGCCUUUUCAUUUUUAUUUAACAAUAACCAGUGUACUUAGACUGGUACAAUACCAUUUUGAAUGACUAUGUUUGCUUGUUGUUAAAUGUUAGGCAUGUUGCAGUUCCACUUGUUUUGCUUUACUAGCAUCCUUAAAUCUGCACACUGAAGCUAUCUUUUGGAGAUCAUUUUGUCUGCCAUGGAUAAUUUUGGUUGAUGUUUAGCCUGUUGUGCUUAACAUGCCUCUCGAUGUACCUACACAGGACAAUUUUGGGAACGACUGAUGUUUUCCAUCGAGGUUUGUUUCAUCCCAUGGCUUAUAUAUACUCACUGUUCAAGAUAUCGGUAGCUGCUACCAUAUAGGCCAGGGGCUGAUAAGGGACUAAUCGGUGAAUCGGACUUUUAACUCAAUAUAUCAGUAACCCAUUUAUUGUUAGGUUAACUAGAGCCAUAUGUAAUAUAUCUGAGGCUACAUAGCAACAUGCACUGUACUUAAUGUCUAAAUAUGCAAUCCUAGGCUACAUAGAAACAAGGAAGAGUGUUACAGCAACAACAGCAACAGCAACAACAACGACACCAACAACAGCAACAACAACAGCAACAACAGCAACAACNNNNNNNNNNNNAACGACAACAACAACAACAACAACGACAACAACAACAACAACAACAACAACAACAACAACAACAACAACAACAACAACAACAACAACAACAACAACAACAACAACAACAACAACAACAACAACAACAACAACAACAACAACAACAACAACAACAACAACAACAACAACAACAACAACAACAACAACAACAACAACAACAACAACAACAACAAUUGUUGUU
Molecule: long non-coding RNA, 81866 nt
Filed under: Triticum aestivum (bread wheat)
Lineage: Eukaryota; Viridiplantae; Streptophyta; Magnoliopsida; Poales; Poaceae
Description: long non-coding RNA (TAES_LNC023494)
Source: RNAcentral